RNAcentral lists this long non-coding RNA (47739 nucleotides) under Ananas comosus (pineapple). RNAcentral's name for it is "long non-coding RNA (ACOM_LNC001300)". Lineage: Eukaryota; Viridiplantae; Streptophyta; Magnoliopsida; Poales; Bromeliaceae. The record is from RNAcentral.
AAAUGAAAGGCUGAAAAUGAAUACUCUUUAAAAAAUGAUGAUAGGAGUCUUGUAAUCAAGAUCAAGAGUAUAGAUCUUGUUUUAAAUAGUUUAAAGAAUUUUCUAACAAAAAUUCAAUUGAUUUGGAUAUCUUUACGCCGUUAAACGAGAAAACGCUUCUUAUCGAUCAUUAAAAUUACAAAUUUUGAAACCCUUUGAUCAUUAGGCAAAUGAUAUCGAAAAGAUUUGAAAUUUGAUUUCUAAACACUUCAAGUGGUAUAGAUCAUGUUCAACGGAGCCGAUUGUCAAUUUGGAAGCUCUAUCAUCGAAAACAAAUCGGUAGUAAAACGGCUCGUUUAUUACCGAUAGUAUUCUAGCAAAACUCUCUCUCUAUAUAUAUAUAUAUAGAAAGAGAGAGAGAGAGAGAGAGAGAGAGAGAGAAAGAGAGAGUCUGGCUAUGGUGCUUGUAAAUUUUUUACCGUUAGAUCUAUGCCUUUGAUCAUUUUUAUCCAUUAGAUUAUACUAUUCAACCAACCACCCACACAACCCUAGGGGGCCCACAUCAUCCUAACCGCACAUCCCUUAAUCCAAGGGCCAAAACUUUACAAGCACUAAUAACUUGGUACUUUUAAGAGCUCAAUUCAUAUAUAUAUAUAUAUAUAUAUGAGCUAGGCUCGUAUACUAUCGGUAGCACGGAGGCCUCCGUGUUACCAAGUUGUUUUCAAUGAUGCGGCUUUCAAAUCGACGAUCGGCUCCGUUACACUUAAUCUACACUAUUAAAAGUAUUUGAAAACUAAAUUUUAUAAUUUUUCGACAUCAUUUGGCUAGUGAUCAAAAGGUCUCAAAAUUGACAAUUUUAAUGGUCGAUGUGAUGCGUUUGUGAAUUUAACGGUGUAAAACAAUCCAAAUUUGAUGAAAUUUUUAUAAAAAAUUCUUUUCACCAUUUAGAGUAAGAUCAGUACCUCUGGUCUUAAAUUCAAGUCUUUUAUCAUCAUUUUUUAUGAGAUUUUUAUUUUCAGCCGUUCAUUUUUAGACUACUCGUUUGAUUGGUAAUUGAUGUCGAAAAAUUAUGAAAUUUAGUUUCUAAAUACUUUCAAUAGUGUAGAUCAAGUCUAACGGAGCCGAUCGUCGAUUUGAGAGCCACAUCAUUGAAAACAACUUGAUAGCACGGAGGCCUCCGUGCUACCGAUAGUAUACCAACCUAGCUCUCUCUCUCUCUCUUUAUAUAUAUAGGCUGGGGCUACUAUACUCUCAUGAGUAUAGACCCCCUUGUACUCAUAAAUUUUUAACCGUUGAUUGAUGGGAUGUAUGGUUAGGAUGAUGGCGGUCCCCACUUAGAAUAAUAGGGGUCCCCUAGGGUUGAGUGGGUAGUUGGUUGAAUAGUAUGAUCUAACGGGUGGAAAUGAUCAAUAGAAUAAAUCUAGGAACCGAAAAUUUAUAAGUAUAAAGGAGCCAAUACUCAUAAAAGUAUAGUAGCCGGACUACACACACACACACACACACACACACACACACACACACACAAACAUUUGCACUAGUUAUAUAUUAUAAACAAAAGCAUUAAUAAUGUUUAUGACAUAUAAGCUUUUCUUUGUUGGCAAAUGUUUAUAUGUUAUAAACAUUAAUAAACAAAUGCCCGGAAGUGAAAAAUCUCACAUAUUUGUAUAAAAGUAUUUACUCUAGUUUAUAUAUUAUAAAUAUUAAUAAUACACAUGCGAUGCAUGUGAAAAAACUUCUGAAUUGACAAAUCGAAUUCAAGAAAAUCUUUAAGAUGUGGAAAACUCAUUUAAAUUGACACAUCGUAUUGGAUGAUCACUUCUCGCUUCCACCUCCGAAUAACUAGUUUUGUCUGGAAACCCUAUUGUCGGCAAGCUUUUAUUCCCACUCCUCGCUCCCAUCCCUCUCUCCUUAUUAGCCCCACUUUCUUAAGCCCAACACUUAUUUUCCGACAGCUGCUCAUGGUGGGGGAGAAACGAAAGCAUCCAUCGUCAUCGGAAAAGACUGGCGAAUCGUCCGUGUAGAACUCUAAGAGAGCUCGAUCGACAUCGUCGGGAGGUUAUGCACAUGGUAUACAUUUUCAUGAUGACGUGAUAUUCCUGAUAUUCUCCAAUUUACUAUUUAAAAUAUCUACAUGUGUCGGUGUGUCUCGUGCUGAUUCCAAUGCUUCCUGCUAGCCACGUUUCUUCCAACUCUACUGGGCCCGUAGAAACACAGCGCCUUCGCUCGGUAUAUUUCAAACUUCACUUAACUCACCUAGCUCAACUAACUUCGGUUUACCAAAACCAGUAUUCACCCUGCUUGACCCGCAGAAUAUUAUACAUACGCUCUGUCACGACUUCCGCCUCGACCUCAUUUCGACGGGAAGGCUUUUUGUCUACAACGGCCACCUCCGCCGACUCCUCUCAACCACCGUCAAUCUACUGCUACUGCUUCGAGGACACUUGAAUUACUGGUCUACGACCCUCUCUGGUCGAGCUUUUGCAUUCGGCUACCCACCUCGCUCACUACCCAAGCAAGCACAUCAAGGCCUACAGCAUCCUUCUAGAGGUAGAUCCCAUCGGAGACAUUCUGCGUCUUCAUUGAUAUCCAUUCGGAGCUGAUGUUGCUGCAGCUGAGGAUUUUCUGCUCAGGUGAAUAUGGUUGGAGUCCCAACAUGAGUUUCCACAUACACAGUCCCGACCACUACAACAUCAAUCGGUUGCCGGUUCUUUAUGGGGCCUUUAUGUAUCUCCUGAUCCUCCGUGGCGAUGCACUCCGUGUGGACCUGCGGAGUUCACGUCUGUCCUUAUUUCCGCCUUCGAACGUGCAUGCACUGGAAGAUGAGUACGUUUGGGACGCAAAAGACAACGACAUGGGGCUGAUGCACCUUGACGAUGAGGCUCCGAUCUAGUCGGAGCACGCAGGCAUGGAUUUCCGGCCCCUCGUCCAUUCUUAUGUCGUAUAUUUUUUCGAUAUAGCACUACUAGAAAAUUAGUCAUUAGCGACAUUUAUAUAUGCGGCUAAAAGAUCGACAAAUGUUACUAAAACUUUUAGCAGCAUAUAACACCAAAUACUGCCUAUGCCAAUGUUGCUAAAAGUAUUAGUAGCAUAUAUAAUGAAUGCCGCUAACGUGAAUUAAUUAAUGUUAUUAGAAAUAUGCCGCUAAAAGAGCUGUUAAGUAUUAAUCUUAAAUUGUUAACACUGCAUAUGAAUAUAAUGCCGCUAAUAGAAAUAUAUGAUUUUAGGGAUUCAAAUUUUAAAAUUUUAAUUUUAUUUUAAAUUUAAAUUCAAAUUUAAAUUUAUAUUUGAAUUUUUUUUAGAGAAAUGUAGCAUGCUAUCUGUUUCGUUUAUUUCUUUUAGAAAUAAACUUAGCUGUAAAUGAGAGUCAGCGACAUCGGGCUGGCGCACACCGUGGAGCACCUUUGUUACACGUAGGGGUGUAAACGAGCCGAACACGAGCGAGCUCGAUCGGCUCGUGUUCAGCCUCGUUAAUAGACGAGUCGAACACGCGCUGGCUCGUUAAAGUAUCGAGCGAAAAUUCAGCUCAUGUUCGACUCGUUAUUAACGAGCCAAACAUGAGCUGGCUCAGAGCUGGCCCAACGAACAAUAAAUUAAAAAAAAUAGAUUAAAUAUAUAUAAAAAAAUAAAUUUAUAAAUCUUAUCCAUUAAACUUUGAUUCUAAUAGUUGAAACUUUACAUAUAAAUGAAUUUUUUUUAUAAUUAAACUCGCAUUUAUAUUUUAUUUUACUAAAAAUUAAAUAAUAAAAAUAUAUAGUAUAUAUAAUUAUUUAUUUAUAUAUAAAAAUAUAAAUUAAAUAAAUUAUAUAAAUAUAAAAUAUAUGUAUUCGAGCUGUUAUCGAGCGAACACGAGCGAGUUGACCCAAGCUCGUGUUCGGCUCGUUUAUUAAACGAGCUGAAAAAUCCAGCUCGUGUUCGGCUCGUUUAUAACGAGCGAGCCGAUCUCGAGCCUCAUUUCGAGCCGAACCCGAGCCUGCGCUCGCGAACAGCGAGCUGGAUUGCCACCCCUAGUUACACGGCGGUCUACAACCUGAGGCUCUUCCUCUGGACAGCCACCCACCUCGACGACGAGUCUCCAAUCUUGUCAGAGCCCGCAGGUAUGGAUCUCCAGCCCCUCGUCCAUCCUGAUGUCGUACAUUUCUUCGCUACAGAUGUUGCUACUGUAUUUCCCAAUCGGAGCUGUAUUUUGGUAUUUGCCGAGAUCGCCUGCAUGUUUAUCUUGAAGUUGGGCAUGAAGGUAUACUUUUUUAUCUUCCCACUUUUCCAUAUACAUACAAAAACAUUUGUAAUGGUUAUAUGUUAUAAAAUUAAUAAAAUUUAUUAUAUUAUAAAUAUUAUUAAUAUUUAUAACAAAUAAAUAUUAUUCGAUACAGAUGCUGCUCCUAUAUUUCACAAUUGGUGCUAGAUUUUGACAUUUGCCGAAACUGGACGCAUGCUCAUCCUGAAGUUAGGCAUGGAGGUAUACUUUUAUUCUCUUGGCACUUCCCUAUUAUAGCGUUCUCCCGCACAGCCCAUAGUGGCCUAGUACCCUGGAGUGGCUUAUGAAACGAGCAUCAUAUUCUUCAUCAGAUAGGAUGUUACUUUGUUACAUUAUUUCUACUCGAAAAUUUAGGUGCACUUACGUGUUUUUAGCUGUUGAUAUUACUGUUACAUCCAUAAUUAAUUGUCAUUCGACUUAAAUUGUUUGUUUGUUCCCCAAUAUAACUUUUAGUUAUUUUUCAUAUCUUUAUGUCCGUAUUUUAUAUUUUGAUCCUGCAACUUUUUGAAUUCUGGCCUUUUUGAAAAUCAAGGCCUACAGAAUCUUUCUAGAGGUAGACCUAUCGGAGACAUUCUGUGUCUUCGUUGAUAUCCAUUCAAGCGCAUCAAGGCCUACAGCAUCCUUCUAGAAGUAGACCUAUCGGAGACAUUCCGCAUCUUCGUUUAUAUCCAUUAGGGGCCGAUGCUGCUGCAGCUGAGGAUUUUCUACUUCGGUGAAGAUGGUUGGAGCCCAACAUAAGCUUCCACAUACACAAUCCUUACCACUACAACAUCAAUCGGCCACCGGUUCUCUAUGGGCAUUUUCGUAUCUCCCGAUCCUCUAUGGCGAUGCGCUCCGUGUGGACCUGCGGAGUUCUCCUCUGUUCACAUUUUCGCCUCCGAACAUGAAUGCGCUGGGACAUGAGUACGUUUGGGACGUGAAAAACAACGACAUGAGGCUGGCACACACCGGGGAGCACCUUUGUUACACGGCGUCUACAACCUGAGGCUCUUCCUCUGGACAGCCACCCACCUCGACGACGAGGCUCCGAUCUGGUCAGAGCCCGCAGGUGUGGAUCUUCGGCCCCUCGUCCAUCAUGAUGUCGUACAUUUCUUCGAUACAGAUUUUGCUAUUGUAUUUCCCAAUCGGAGCUGUAUUUUGGCAUUUGUUGAGACCGCCUGCGUGCUCAUCUUGAAGUUGGGCAUGAAGAUAUGCUUUUAUACAUACAAAAACAUUUGCAAUGGUUAUAUGUUAUAAACAUUAAUAAUAUUUAUUAUAUUAUAAACAUUAUUAAUAUUUAUAACAAAUAAAUAUUAUUCGAUACAGAUGCUCUUCCUAUAUUUCACAAUUGAUGCUGUAUUUUGAAAUUUGCCGAAACUGGACGCAUGCUCAUCCUGAAGUUAGGCAUGUAGGUAUACUUUUAUCAUCUUGGCACUUCCCUAUUAUAGCGUUCUCCCGCACAGCCUAUAGUGGCCCAGUACCCCGAAGUGGCUUAUGAAACGAGCAUCCUGUUCUUCAUCAGAUAGAAUGUUAUUUUGUUACAUUAUUUCUACUCGAAAAUUUAGGUGCACUUACGUAUUUUUAGCUGUUGAUAUUACUGUUACAUCCAUAGUUGAUUGUCAUUUGACUCAAAUUGUUUGUUUGUUCCCCAAUAUAACUUUUAGUUAUUUUUCAUAUCUUUAUGUCCUUAUUUUAUAUUUUGAUCCUGCAACUUUUUGAAUUCUGGCCUUUUCAAUACCAAGGCUUACAGAAUCUUUCUAGAGGUAGACCCAUCGGAGACAUUCCGUGUCUUUGUUGAUAUCCAUUCAAGCGCAUCAAGGCCUACAGCAUCCUUCUAGAAGUAGACCUAUUUGAGACAUUCUGCGUCUUCGUUGAUAUCCAUUCGGGGCUGAUGCUGCUGCAGCUGAGGAUUUUCUACUCCGGUGAAUAUGGUUGGAGCCCAACAUAAGCUUCCACAUACACAGUACUUACUACUACAACAUCAAUCGGCCAUCGGUUCUCUAUGGGGCCUUUUUGUAUCUCCUGAUCCUUUGUGGUGAUGCGCUCCGUGUGGACCUGUGGAGUUCACGUCUGUUCACAUUUCCGCCUCUGAACGUGCAUGCGCUGGGAGAUGAGUACGUUUGGGACGUGAAAAACAACGACAUGAGGCUUGGGCAUACCGGGGAGCACCUUUGUUACACGGUUGUCUACAACCUGAGGCUCUUCCUCUGGACAGCCACCCACCUCGACGACGAGGCUCCGAUCUGAUCAGAGCCCGCAGGUGUGGAUCUCCGGCCCCUCAUCCAUCCUGAUGUACUCGUCAAUCUUGUUGUCGUACAUUUUUCGAUAAAGAUGUUGCUACUGUAUUUUCCAAUCGGAGCUGUAUUUUGGUAUUUACCGAGACCGCCUGCGUGCUCAUCUUGAAGUUGGGCUUGAAGGUAUACUUUUUUAUUUUCCCACUUUUUCAUAUACAUACAAAAAUAUUUGCAAUAGUUAUAUGUUAUAAACAUUAAUAAUAUUUAUUAUGUUAUAAACAUUAAUAUUUAUAAAAAAUUAGUAUUUAUUCGAUACAGAUGUUGCUCCUAUAUUUCCCAAUCAGUGCUGUAUUUUGGCAUUUGCCGAAACUGCACGCAUGCUCAUCCUCAAGUUAGGCAUGGAGGUAUACUUUUAUCACCUUGACACUUUUCUAUUAUAACAUUCUCCCGCACAGCCCAUAGUGACCCAGUAUCCCGGAGUGGCUUACGACACGAGCAUCCUGUUCUACAUCAGAUAGGAUGUUACUUUGUUACAUUAUUUCUACUCGAAAAUUUAGGUGCACUUACGUGUUUUUAACUGUUGAUAUUACUGUUACAUCCAUUAUUGAUUGUCAUUUGACUCAAAUUGUUUGUUUGUUCCCCAAUAUAACUUUUAGUUAUUUUUCAUAUCUUUAUAUCCUUAUUUUAUAUUUCGAUCCUGCAACUUUUUGAAUUCUGGCCUUUUCAAUAUUAAGGCCUACAGAAUCCUUUUAGAGGUAGACCCAUCGGGGACAUUCCGUGUCUUCGUUGAUAUCCAUUCGAGCGCAUCAAGGCCUACAGCAUCCUUCUAGAGGUAGACCUAUCGGAGACAUUCCGUGUCUUCGUUGAUAUCCAUUCGGGGCUGAUGCUGCUGUAGCUCAGGAUUUUCUACUCCGGUGAAGAUGGUUGGAGCCCAACAUAAGCUUCCACAUACACAGUACUUACUACUACAACAUCAAUCGGUCACCGAUUCUCUAUGGGGCCUUUUUGUAUCUCCUGAUCCUCUGUGGCGAUGCGCUCCGUGUGGACCUACGAAGUUCGCGUCUGUUCACAUUUUCGCCUCCGAACGUGCAUGCGUUGGGAGAUGAGUACGUUUGGGACGUGAAAAACAACGAUAUGAGGCCGGCGCACAUCGGGGAGCACCUUUGUUACACGGCUGUCUACAACCUGAGGCUCUUCCUCUGGACAGCCACCCACCUCGACGACGAGACUCCGAUCUGGUCAGAGCCCGCAGCUGUGGAUCUCCGGCCCCUCGUCCAUCAUGAUGUCGUACAUUUCUUCGAUACAGAUAUUGCUACUGUAUUUCCCAAUCGGAGCUUUAUUUUGGCAUUUGCCGAGACCGCCUGCGUGCUCAUCUUGAAGUUGAGCAUGAAGAUAUUCUUUUUUUAUCUUCCCACUUUUCCAUAUACAUACAAAAAUAUUUGCAAUGCUUAUAUGUUAUAAACAUUAAUAAUAUUUAUUAUGUUAUAAACAUUAUUAAUAUUUAUAAUAAAUAAGUUUUUAUUCAAUAAAUAUUUAUUAAUAUUUAUAAAUAAGCUUUUAUUCGAUAUAAAUUGCAUUGUUACCCCCUGAACUUCUGGCGUAGGUUCACUUUACCUCUCGAACUUCUAAAAUGGACAUCUAACCUCCUAAACUCUAAUAUUUCGUUCAUGUUACCCUUCUGUCAGUUUUCCGUUAAGCUCCGUUAACUGAAAACUGACGGAAGGGGUAAAACGAAUGAAAUAUUAGAGUUUAGGGUGUUAGAUGUCUAUUCUAAGAGUCUGGGGGGUUAAGUGAAACUAGCCAAAAGUUCAGGGGUAACAAUACAAUUUACCCUAAUUUUUACUAUAAAUUAUUUUUAUAUUUUAAAUUAAAAAUUUCUAAUUGGCUGAAAUGAAGUACAAAAAUUUUAUUUAAGUGUAUUUUAUAGAACAAUGCUUCUAAAGAUAAAAUGGACAAACGAGUACUACAGAAAAUUAACUGAGAAUUAAAAUCUCUAUAUCCGAGUAAGGACACCAAUUGUAAAUCAACCAUAUUAGCGAGUACACCAGGAUAGUAGAGUGUUCGAGCAUCGUAGGUAGUUAGUAUCGCUCUUUUUUUAUCUUUAAAUCACUCUAAUUCAUUUCUUUCACUUUUAUUUUAUUACAAUAAAAUGUAGGAUAAAUCAUGGUAUGAUUUAUUUUAGGUUUAAAAAUAUAUAUAAAUUCAAAAUCAAGCAUGAUCACUAACUUGAGGAUUAGUAGUCAAUCCAUAAGUAACAUAUUAUAAUAAAAUAAUUUAUAGUCAAGAGUCCCUUACGGAGUAAAUUGCACUACUACCUUCUGAACUUUUGACGAGUUUCACUUAACCCCCCAAACUCUUAAAAUAGACAUCUAAAAUCCUAAAGUCUAAUAUUUCAUUCGUUUUACCCCUUCCGUCAGUUUCCGGUUAACGGAGUUUGAUAGAAAACUGACAGAAGGGGUAAUAUGAACGAAAUAUUAGAGUUUAGGGGGUUAGAUGUCCAUUUUAGAAGUUCAAGGGGUAAAGUGAAACUUCGCCAAAAGUUCAAGGGGUAAUAGUGCAAUUUACCCUAAAAUUUAAUAUCUGAUGCAUAUCUGAAUCGGAAAAAAAAAUUAUGGGAAUAUGGUUUCGUCGAAUACCUUUUCACGUUUUUUCUGAUCUGUUUCCAUAAAAACUGGAAAAUUUUGAAAUCAGCCUUCAUUUUUUUCAAUUUUUUUUUAUUAUUAUCAUGGUUAAUCCGCAAUCAAGUCCAACUAAAUCAUUUUUUCUCUUCCUCCAAUUACGAUUCACCGUUUUAUUUUGGAAAAAAAAAAAAUAUCUCGAGAUACCUAAAUUUUAGCUUUUUUAUUAACAAAUUAUUUUGGUAAUUUUUUUAAAAAAAUUAUCAAUAUAUCGGAUAGCUAGAUCGUGAUUAUUGAAUCGCCAAAGGACCUAAUUAUCAAUAUGUUGAUAAUUGGACUGAUUUGUAAUUGUUUCAAAUUAGUGGUAUUAAAGUGUAAAUGUUACAAGAGAGGACUUACUAAUAGUUAGUAAAUUAUAAGAGGAUUUAUGUGCAAAUGUUGUAUUAUUAAUUUGAUAUGUUCAAAUUAAUAUAAAGUUUAAGUCGAAUCAAAUUAGGAUUUGAUCGAUCUAACCAAUUAAGGAAAUGAUAAAUUUAAAUCUAGAUUUAUACAUAUCCUUAAUUAUCAUUAUAUUAUUAGGAAUAGGAUUAUAUUCCUAUAUAUAAUAUAGGGGAGUUUUUAGAAAACCCUAGCCGUCAUCUUUCCUCUCCACUCUCUUCCAUAUUCUAGCAAGAAAGACGUCCUUUUGCAAGGGAGCUAGCACCUCGGUGAGGACAUCGAUCAAAUCAACAACCUUGUAUGGAUACCUAUAGAGGCCGGACGCGUGUGUGGCUUCAAGAGAACUGAAUUCCACGAUCAUCAAAUUGAGGUGAAGAUCUGUCCGCGAAAAAGGUAAAGAUUUGAUUUUUCUAUUCUCCUUUAAUCUUAAAGAACAUGAGCGAUCCUAAUUGCGUGAUUUUUGCGAUUGGAUCUCAAGAGUUUUCAAAAUUAAAUUUGUUUGAUUUCUUUUUCCGCUGUGUUUUUACUGUACGCAAUUUUCUAACACUAGUUCCGUUGCGUCUCGCACAUCGGCGGCAUUCCGCGUCUUCGCUGUUAUCCGGUCGGGAUCGAUACUCCUACAGCUGAUGAUCUUCUGCUCCGAUGGAGAUAGCUGGAGCCCAGUAGGAGCUUCUAGAUGCGCAGCCCCAACCAUUACAACAUCAAUCGGCCGCCGAUUCUCUACAGAGGCCUCCUGCAUAUCCUGAUCCUUCAUUGCGACGUACUCUGUGUAGAUAAGUUCUUUCAUUUUAAGACACCAAUUUAUUAAUUUAAAAAAAAUAUUCAUAUUCUCAAUCAAGCACCAUGAGUUAAUAGUCAUAAUUUUAAAAGUCUUAAAAUGAUAUUUGAAUAUCACUUUUAUAAAUGAAUACUUUAAUAUAUAAAAUAUAACUAUAUUAUUAAACUUUAUCAUAAUUCUUACUAAGAAGAGAAAGAAAAUAUGUAUUUAAUGUAGCUCGCUAAUGACUCUUUAUCUUGUAUCUUCUCAUAUGAAACAAAGAAUUUGAGAUGAUUAAAAUCCAAACUCAAUUAUAUAUAUACACACACACACAAAAACAUUUGCACUGGUUAUAUGUUACAAAUAUUAAUAAUAUUUAUUAUAUUAUAAAUAUUAUUAAUGUUUAUAAUAUAUAAGUUUUAUUUAUUGGUAAAUGUUUAUAUGUUAUAAACAUUAAUAAACAAAUGCCAAGAAGUGAAAAAUCUAAUAUAUUUGUAUAGAAGUAUUUACUCUAGUUUAUAUAUUAUAAAUAUUAAUAAUACACAUGCGUCUCACACUAGCUCUGUUUAAAGAUAUCUACUAGUUCCGUUGCGUCUCGCGCUCAUGCCACUACCUAGUGACUAGCCCCGACUUCCUCUCGAAGUACUCGGUCGCCGAAAAAACUCCCGUUUGCUAGGUGUAUUCCAGACCUUACUUAGCUCGCGUGGCUUUGGUCUACUGAAACCAUAUUUCAGCCUGCUUGACUCGGAGAAUGUUAUCUGGGCUUUCCGUCACAACCUCCGCCUCAACCGCAUUCCGUCGGGGAGGAUUUUUGUCUAUAUCCUUGAUCACAGCAAGAGUGAGCACAUCAAGACCUAUAGUAUCAUGCCGAAAGUAGGGACAUCGGCGACAUUCCGCGUCUUCGCUGUUAUCCGGUCGGGAUCGAUACUCCUACAGCUGAUGAUCUUUUGCUCCGAUGGAGAUGGCUGGAGUCUAGCAUGAGCUUCUAGAUACCCAACCAUAUCCUGAUCCUUCAUUGCGACGUACUCUGUGUAGAUAAGUUCUUUCAUUUUAAGACACCAAUUUAUUAAUUUAAAAAAAUAUUCAUAUUAUCAAUCAAGCACCAUGAGUUAAUAGUCAUAAUUUUAAAAGUCUUAAAAUGAUAUUUGAAUAUCACUUUUAUGAAUGAAUACUUUAAUAUAUAAAAUAUAAUUGUAUUAUUAAAAGCUUUAUCAUAAUUCUUAAUAAAAAGAGAAGAAAAAUAUGUAUUUAAUGUAGCUCGCUAAUGACUCAUUAUUUUGCAUCUUCACAUAUGAAACAAAGAAUUUGAGAUGAUUAAAACCCAAACUCAAUUAUAAAUAUACACACACACAAAAACAUUUGCACUUGUUAUAUGUUAUAAAUAUAAAUAAUAUAUAUUAUGUUAUAAGAGUCCGGCUGGGGUACUAUCAAGUUUUCCACCGUUAGAUUUAACCCUUUGAUUAUUUUUACCCGUUAGAUUAUACUAUUCAACCAACCACUCACUAAACCCUAGGGAGCCCACAUCAUCCUAACCACUCAUUUCUCAAUCCAAUGGCUAAAAAAUCAAUAGCACCAAUAGCUUGGUGCUAUUGAUAGUAUUCCAGCCUAGUUCUAUGUUAUAAACAUUAUUAAUAUUUAUAAUAUAUAAGUUUUUAUUUGUUGGUAAAUGUUUAUAUAUUAUAAACAUUAAUAAACAAAUGUCCAAAAGUGAAAAAUCCAAUAUUUUUGUAUAGAAAUAUUUACUCUAGUUUAUAUAUUAUAAAUAUUAAUAAUACACAUGCGUCUCGCACUGUCUCUGUUUAAGGAUAUCUACCAGUUCCGUUGCGUCUCGCGCUCAUGCUACCACCUAGUGACUAGCCCCGACUUUCUCUGGAAGUACUCGGUCGCCGAAAGAACUCACGUUGGCUAGGUGUAGUCCAGACCUUACUUAGCUCGCGUGGCUCCGAUCUACUGAAACCACAUUUCAGCCCGCUUGACUCGGAGAAUGUUAUCUGGGCUCUCCGUCACGACCUCUAUCUCAACCGCAUUCCGCCGGGGAGGAUUUUGGUCUGUGAUGAUGUCACGCCUCAGAUUACACGUUUCCCCGGGCACACCCACAGACCCGCCGUAUACGAAGGAAUUUUUUCUGCAUACGAAGCGAAGGUGUACUGAAACUGUAAUCAAACAACACUACAACCAGUAGUACAGAGCUGCUAGAAAAGAAAAAGAACUGAAGGAAAACCAAGUUUCAUAUAUAUACAUAACAUCUAGGGUACAAACUGUUCGCACUGGCGAGUUAAACAUCUGUAUGUACAUCAACUCAAACCAAAAUACAACUACCUGCAGAAGGUACUCCACUAGCUCUGGCUCGUCUAACCAAAAUACAACUACCUGCGGAAGGUACUCCACUAGCUCUGGCUCAUCUGGAAGGGCUCUAGCUCGCAACGCCCUUGCCACGAUCGGUCUCGGAAAAUGCAGCAGCCGGAACAGAAGGCUCUGCAAAAGAGGGGUAACAACUGGGCAUGAGAACUACUAUAAAAACAAGUAGUCCUCAGUGGGUGCCGCCCUCAACAUCAUCGGUCCACCCACUAGGUCUACAGAAGGGAGCUGGAAUAGUAAGUAAUGCUGGAUCAGAUCUAUAGCUAAAAUCACUAUACUAUCAUACUCUAACACUAACAAUCUGUAGAAAAAUAUCAAUCCUGACCCAAUCUCACUCGGGACUGUAACCAUAUCCGUCCCAGGGACUGUGAACACAUCCGUCCGGCCUGUCGAAGCUAAAGCGAUCUCCACACUAAGCAGUCAGUGGAUAGCAAGUCCAAACAGGACACCUUGAAUCCAACGCAGAAGCACUAAACCCGACUCCGGAGUGGCACUUAUGGGCGCUACCCAACCGAGUAUGCAAGUGUAUCUCUGUCGAGCUCAAUCAGGCUCUUACAGGCUAUAGUCUAGUACACAGGGUCUAACUGAUCUAAAAACCAACGAGUCACGUGCCCUCGGCACAAACUGAUGCCAAAACGGCAAUAUGGGUCCACCGUCAACCCCAACGGGCCCCAGCAGUCCGGAACAGUCUGAACAAUACUGUAAAAGUAGGCUAGACAUCUCAGCACGAGCGUAACAGCAAUCUACACUACCUGGGGUAUCCACCACGCUGAUACUGCGGCGAUACCAAAUAACAACGGCUCCUAAAGCUAAAUCUGGUAGUGUAAGCAUAUGACGAGGUAUAAUCGCAGUUUUCUCCUAAGUCAUAUCCAAGUCCAAUAUGUGCAAAUAGAUAUAAUCAAGAGGCGAGGCUCCAAUUCAGAUUUUGAAGAUAAAAACACCAAAUCCAUGAAUCGAGCAAUUUCUAUAUACUAAACAACCCGAUAAACACAUGUCGACUAUAUAGCUACUUAGACGGCAAACCGACGAUUAACCCACCUCAAAAGCUACUUCAAAUCCGGCGCGACGUGGAAUCAGCGACAAACCCUGCUCGCCCGGCCUCCCAAUGUAGCAACUACGGUGCUCGUGUACUCGAACGGCUCUGCGGCGCAACGUCGGCGUCGAUCCAACUCCACCCGAGCUCCUCCUUGCUCACGGCCAAGGCUAGAGAGAGAGAGGAGAAGAAGAACAGUAAAGUUUCUCUCUCUCAGCUUCUCUACACCUGCUAUAGUAAUGGGGAGAGAGGGUGACACGUACGAGGCAUAGAAAGACCAAAAUGCCCUCUUAUCUAUCCUGGUGUACCGGUACACGUGUGGUUGUACUGGUACAAAUAGCAACCCGGGAGCAGCUGCGCGGAAACAGGUAAAGUGUACCGGUACACAUCCGAUGUUGUACCGGUACAGAAAGUGUACCAGUACACCUCUGAUGUUGUACCGGUACAACAAGCAGGAAAUCUGCAAUUUGCAGAUUCCAAUGCUGACUCCUGCUCUCGCGUUCCCACUGAGUCCGUUUUGCGUCUAUUUCGCGCCAAACGCGACUCGAACUUGUCCCGACACUCUCACAACGUGUCAACAAGCCUCAACUUCUUGACUUUCAAAUCUUUUUGACGUCAUUGACCUAAUGAUCAAAAAGUUCCAAAUUUUGUAAUUUUAAUAGUCAAUAUGAGGCGUUUUUAUGUUUAACGGUGUAAAAAUAUCUAAAUCAGUUAAAUUUUUGUUAGAAAUUUUUUUUAACUAUUUAGAACAAGAUCUAUACUCUCGAUCUUGAUUGCAAGAUUCCUAUCAUCAUUUUUUAAAGGAUAUUCAUUCUUAGUCAUUCAUUUUUGUGUCAACUUGAUGAACAAGAGAGCAAUAUCAGAAAAGUAUGAAAUUUGGUUUCUAGAUACUUCAAGUGGUAUAGAUCAUGUUCAAUGGCGCCGGUUGUCGAUUUGGAAGCUCCAUCAUUGAAAACAAAUGGAUGGCAACGGAUCCCAUUUGUUACUGAUAGUAUUACGGCUCAACUCUCUUUCUCUCUAUAUAUAUAUAUAGAGAGAGAGAAAGAGGCUAGUAUGCUUCUGAAAGUACGAAACCCUCUGUGUUUUCAAGUCAUUUUUGAUGUUGGGACUUUCGAAUUGACGAUUAGCUUCAUCAGAUUUGAUCUAAGUAUUUGAAGUAACUACAAAAUAAAUUUUGUGAUUCUUCUUUGAACCCUGUUCAUCUUCAUCAUCAGCUAUUUUUCCUCUUCAAUGUCGCCGUUAGGUGGAAGGUUAGCGGAAGGAGAAAAAUUCAUCUUCUUCAGACGUUUCUCUUCCUUUGGCCCUCCGUGCACGAUGCGCCCUCUUCCAUGAUGCCAUUUGCUAUGCAAGAUUUAAGUUGGGAGAAGAUAGAAAGGCAAACAGCGAGCAGGAAGGAGAAGAUGGAUAUAUACUCUUAUAUGAAUCUCCAAUAUCAAAUGAUGACGUGGCAAUCUCUUUUUUUUUUAGAUUUUUUAGAUUUUUUAUUUUAUUCUAUUCUAUUAUUUUUAAUUAUUCUUUCAAUUAUUUUUUUUUGAACCAUUUCUUCUAUCUAUUAAUUUUUUUGGACCGAACCAACAUAUUUUGUUAUAUAUUUUGUAUUGAACCCGAUUCAUCACUGAACCCGAUUUUUUGAACCCUGUUUAUCUUCAUCAUCAGCGAUUUUUCCUCUUCAAUGUCGUCAUUUGGCGAAAGGUUAGCGGAAGGAGAAGAGACUCAUUUUCUUCAAACAUUUCUCUUCCUUGUGCCCUCCGUGCACGAUUUGCCCGCUUCCGUGGUGCCGUUUGCUAUGCAGGAUUUAAGUCAGGAGAAGAUGGAGAGGCGAAAAGUGAGCGAGAGGGAGAAGAUGGAUAUGCUUAUAUAAUAACAUUGACAUUUUCUUUAUUCCAGUAUCUUUUCCAACAAUAUUUUUUCGAUGGUAGAGGGUGGUUACUCUAUUUUUUUCGCUUUACUAUUAUAGAGUUAUAGAUGUACAAUUUUUUUUUUACGUUUUUGUUAUUUUUCCUCAGGAAUCUAUGGGCAAUCUACUACGUUGAUUUAUCCCCUAUUUGGUACUGACUUCCUUCAGAUCUCCGGUAAGUCCUAAUACCUAAGUGCUUAUAUUACUAUUACUAUGUACAGUUUUUUUUUUUUGACGUUUUUGUUAUUUUUUCUCAAAAAUCCAUCGCCGAUCUACUAAUUGAUCUCCUAUUUGGUCUUGCCUUCUUUCCGAUCUCUGGUAAGCUGCAGUGCCUAUGUGCUUAUAUUUGCAUGAAACUAAGUUCAAAAAAAAAAAGUCAUAAAAAUAUGAUUAUGAGACCAUCUGUAUGUGCACUAUUUUUCUUCACGAUCAGUAUGCCUCUAGUUUAGAAUAUUUAUUUAUAAUUAAAGUUUUGGUCUUUUAAGAGAUAUAAUUUUGUAUUUCAUUAUCAAUAUUAAUAAAAUUGUUUGCUCUGUCUUGCUCCACAGGUGUAGAACAACGGCCAAAUCAUGUAAAUCUUAGUGUGUUCUUUUCUUUUUCUUUAUAUCUAUAAGAAAGCAAAUUUACGGCCUAAUGGCAACUAUUGUGGAUAUUUAUAUCAUAAAAAAAAUUGGAUUGGAGAGCAUAAAAUAUAUAUUUUCUGAUUUUGCUAAAAUAAGAUGAAAAUCUAACUAUUUGAACUUUAUUAAUAUUUGUAAUUAAAUAUUACUUCUCUAGCUCUCAUGAUACUACUUCUGAUUCUUCUGCUACAACUUUUUUCUAUAUUGCUUUUAUUUUUUUUCCUAAUAAUUAUGUUGUAUUUUCUCUUCAUAUAUAUUUUAAACUUAUUUUUAAAAUAUGAUAUUUUCAAUGAAUCUACUACCUCAAUAAUAUUUAUGUCUUAAAAAAAUUCAAGUUGGGAUGGAAGAAGACAAUUAUCUUAUGUUCUUGCAAGAAGAAUCAUGAAAAUAUAAUUGUUAGGUCAACUAAUUCUUCUAAUUUAGUCCUUUUUUUAAUUGAUAAUAUAUAAAUUCUAAACAUUAUGCAAUUUUAUAGUAUGAAAUUUAGAAUUUGGUAAAAUUCUAAAGCAAAUUUCUAACCACAAUUAUUGAAGAAUAAUACUGUUUUGGAACAAUAUAAUUUUCAUUCAAAAUUUUAUAAUUUAGAAAAAAUAGUAUUUAGGAUUCUAAUUAUAAUUUAUUUUUAAAAUUUUAAAUUUGGAUUCUAUUAUUUAUCCGCCGCAUCGCACGGAUCUCUACACUAGUAUAUACUAGAGUCCGAUAAAUUCAUCUCGUGUUUUUGUAUAGGGGUGGCAAUCCAGCUCGCUGUUCGUGAGCCAGCUCGUGUUUGGCUCGAGAUCGAAUCGUUCAUUUAGUAAACCAGCCAAAUAUGAGCUAAAUUUUUUAGCUCGUUUAAUAAACAAGCUGGGGUCAGCUCGCUUGUAUUCGACUCGAUAACGGCUCGAAUAUAUAUUAUAUAUAUUUUAUAUUUAUAUAAUUUAUAUAAUUUAUUUUUGUAUAUAUAAAUAAAUAAUUAUAUAUAUAUAUAUAAUUUUAUUUUUAACAAAAUAAAAAUAUAAAGUCGAGCUCAAUGGUAAAAAGACUCCAACCAUUUGAUCAUUUAAUAUGUAAUAUUUUAUAAAUUUAAUUUUUAUAUAUAUCCAAUCUAAUUCUUUUAAUUUAUUAUUCAUUGGCCGGCUCGUGAGCCCGUUCAUGUUCGGCUCGUUAAUAAACGAGCCAAAAACGAGCUGAAUUUUUCAACUCGAUAUUUUAACGAGUUAGGUUUGAGUCGGAUUUUCAAAAACCCGAAUCCCAACCCAAAAACUAAAUUAAAACUCUAAUCCGGACCCGAAUCAGGUGGGUUUUAAAAAUCCAUAUCCAUACUAAAAAUCCGAAACCUAAACCGGGACCGAACGAGAAAAAAUAUUAAAUAUUUUAUAUAUUAUAUAAAUAUAUAAAAAUAAAUUAUUUAUAUAUAUAAUUUAUUCAGGUCCGGAUUUGAGUUCGGAUUCGGGUUCGAAUCGGGUAAAUAUAAAAUUCAUAUCCGUAUUCAUAUUCGUCUGAUUUUUAUUAUUUAUACCAUAAUUAAAUUUAUACCCAUUUAGCUCGAGUAAAUCUGUCCUCUUCGGAUUCUAAUAGUAUUCUUUCGGAUUCUAAUAAUAUUUAGAAUAUCUAUAUCCAUCGGCAUCCUAGACACCCUUAUUUUUCUGUAUGCGUGUAUCUAUAAGUAUCGCGCACGACUCCGUGUCCUCUGUAGUUUUGAUAACCGAUCGAUUCGGUUACGAGAAAUAAUGGAAGAACCGGCGAGAAAACGGCAAAGACUCUCGGCGGCGGCGGCGGACCGCAUCAGUGCUCUGCCCGAUCACCUCCUCCACGAAAUCCUGGCCUUCCUGCCGGCCCGCCUCGCCGUCGGCACCUCCCUCCUCUCCCGGCGAUGGCGGGCGGUCUGGACGACCGCCCCCGACGUCUCCUUCACCACCCAGCUCUCCCCCUCCUUCGUCGACUCCGUCCUCCGCCAUCGCGACCCCGCCCUCCCCCUCCGCUCCUUCUCCCUCGUCGCCGCUUCCGCCGACGAAGUCGUCUCCGACCCCGACCCCGACCCCGCCCUCCCCUUCCGCUCGUGGAUCCUCCGCGCCGCCAGCCCCGCCCUACAACGCCUCACCCUCCGCCUUCCCGGCCGCUUCGACCUACUACCUCCGGCAGUCUUCCACCUCCCCUCGCUGAAGGUGCUCGAACUCCGCCUCCCGGGACGCCUCGAUUGGCCCGCCGCUGCCUUCUUACCUUCUCUACAGAGGCUCGAACUCUCUGACCUUACUUUAUUAUAUCCGGCCACCGAGGACGCGAUCUCGAACAGCUGCCCGGCGCUCAAGUGCUGGCGGAUGUCGUUCGAAUCCGCAACCCCCGAGCUCGAAGUAAAGUGCCCGCUGCUGGAGGUUUUCGAGCUACGGACGCGCGCCGGGCCGAUAGGGGGCCUCAGUAUCUGCGGGCGCAAGAUCAGGAAGGUGAGCGUGCGACAGAAGUACGUUGCUGAAUCCUUCUCCAGGCCGCCGGCGGCGGCUUAUCUGAAGCUGUCAGCGCCCGGGCUCCAGACUCUGGAGUGGUUCUGCCCGCUGCCGCGCUCCGCGACCGUCGACUCCCUCCCGGAUUCUCUCGCCUCCUCCCUCAUGUUACUGACGCCGGGCGAGCUCCUCGAUCUCGACGAGAACAGACUGCCGAACUACGGCCAUGUUCUUCCCCUGCUCAGAGUCGAUCGGUUGGUCCUGCCGCAUUGUUGGAUAAUUGAGGUAUGUGCACGGAGGUUUUAUUUCCUUUCUCUUCCUGGUAGAAAUUUUUUUUUUUUUUUCUUUUCUUUUAGAGUAAGAUAGUAUGCUACCGCGACAUUCUCAUUCAAUUGGAAGGUUAACUUAACAAAAAGAUAAGACAAAAGGCCUCAGCUUACAAUUGACUCCAGGAGAUCCUAGUAGAAAUUAGCAUUUCAAUUCAAUUCGUGUGUAUAUUAGAAAUUGAAGUUAAAGAAGGAUCCUAUCCUUUUCGCGCAGCCAAAUCAAGCAAAUAAUCCCUAAAUGAGAUAAUCUCUCAUCCGUAGAUCGACCAUAAGUAGUAUUAUCUCUUCUUCUUCUUAGCGCACGCCCUAGAGCUAAUGCAAAUGUUAUCCUGAAAUAAAAUUGCAGAUGAUUGGCUAUCGUGGACAAGUUAAUUAGGAAUUAUUUAAGUCUUUUCCUGAAGAGUAAGACGAUCGAAGAGGUUAUGCGAUCAAUUUAAUUUUUAAGUUCUGCGUUGAAACAGCCAUAUGAAGAACGAAACUUGAUUAGAUUGGGCUGACCAAAUAUGAUCAGUUUCAUCAACGUAUAUUCUGGACUGAGCAAAAUUCGAGUGCCCUAUCAUUAUCAACAGGUGAAAAGUGCAAAAGUCUUUGCGCUUCGGAAAGCACUCAGCGACUAUGCUAUAGAAUUGUUCUAGAAAUAAAAAGGCACUUUUAGUUCCACCUUCCGUCGUAUUUUCAAUGAUGGGUGGGUUUCUUAAUGCACAAUCGACGCUAUUAAGCAUGAUUUAGGUUCAAUAAGUGUUGCUCUUUUGUUCAUAUCAUUUCUCUAGUAUUCAAGGGACAUUUAGUUCACUUUAAAAAGAACAAAGGCGAAAGAAUCGACUCUAAUUUUUCGCUUCUGAUACUGUAAAUAUGGCAACACAUUGUAGAUCUUUAGUUAAUUUGCUUAUUGAAAGAAGAUUACAAGUGAAAGAUGGAACAUAUAAAACAUUAUUUAUGGCAAAAUUUGAGGAAAGUAAGGCUCAACCAUGAUCCUGAACAGGAAGGUUAGAUCCAUCUGGGAGCUUAACAGGUGGCAAAGAACUGUGGUUUUGUGAAUCAAAUAAGAUAGAGUGAUUGAAGGUCAUAUGGUCAGAGGCUCCGCUAUCUAGAACCCAUUCAGAAAUUUUAUCAGAAGAUUGAGUAGUCUAACCUGCAAAAUUGGCUAAUGGUGUUUGUUUUUUCAGAAUUGAGCAGAGAAAGAAGUUGAUCAUAUUGUUCUUUCGUAAGGCCAUUGACAAGUGAAAAGGAUGACUCAUAUUGACUUAUGGUGGCAUUAUUUGCUGAAUUUGAUGAGCUUUGACGUCCCUUUGUCGAUCUUCCCUUAUUUGUCCAUCCUUCAGGAUAACCAAUUAACUCAUAACAUCUGUCUCUUGUAUGGUUAGUUUUCUUACAAUGCUCACAGAAGAACUUAUUUCUAUUGGGCACUCGAUCUUCAUCCGUUCCAAAGGUCAUCGAUUUGGUGUUUCUAGUGUUUAAAGCAGCAGCUUCAAUAGUUGGUGCUCGACUUGCAGCUAGAGAUUGCUGUCUCUCUUCGCGAGUCACAAGUGCAUAAACCUUAGCAAGGCUAGGUAGCGGAUCAGUGCUUAGAAUUUGAGAUCGAACAAUGUUGAAUUUUUCGGACAGUCCCAUUAGGAAUUGAUGAACUUUCUCUUUCUCACGUUCAGCAAUGAACUCCUUGGCUGCACCACAAGUACAGUAAGGAACAUUUGAAUAAGUGUUUAGCUCAUCCCAAAAUCCUUUCACCUUGGUAUAGUAUGUCGCAACUAACAUAGUGCCCUGUUGUGUAAUUGCAAGUUCACGUUUCAGUUCAUGGAUACAAGGGGUGUUUCCAUGUGAAAAUCUUUCCUCCAAUAUUUCAAUUCUGUAGCUAAACAAUUAAAUAUUUCUCUAGCUGAAUCAAUAUAAGCAAUGCUAUCAUGUAAUUCUGAAGCUAAAGAAUUAAAAAUCCACGAAACGACCAUGGAAUUGCACUUAACCCAGGCAUGUUCAUCGGGGGAAUCAUCUCCUGGGUUGGCAAGAGCACCAUCAACGAAACGACAUUUAUUUUUGGCUCGAAGCGCAUUUAUCAUUGCACGUCGCCAAGUUGGAUAAUUUUCUCCCUUGAGAAGACAUGAAACUAGAAUUGUGCCAGGAUUGUCAGAUGGAUGAAGAAAAUAUGAAGAAAGCUAAUCAAUAUCAGCGGACGUUUUUGUGGAAGCUUUGGUAGAAGGUAUUUCAGUCAUGACUAAUAGCUAGAGUUUCCAGGGAAGAAGAUGAGUAGGGUAUUAGCAUAGGAUCAUUGCUCUGAUACCAUGUAAAAAUAUUUGCCAAGCUUGCUUUCUCUUCUCUUAUUACAUAUAUAUAUAAGAUACAACCAAUUACAUAGCCUAAACUUUAGGCUUAAGAAAAGCAAGAAAAAGGAAAGAGAUCCUGUCUAAUAGGUACACAAUACCUUCUCACCUAAUUUACAAAAUUUGAUAUCGGAUAACCACGGAUUGAGAUUAGCAAAUAAUAUUUUCAAUAGAUAGUAUGACAUUACAUUUGAUAAUUGAUUACUUCACAGGAUUAAAUAAUGCUAUAAUGCUUAUAAUAAUGAUGCGUAUACAUUUUCUUUUAUCCUCAUAUGAUAUGCUGAAUUAAAUGAAUGCAGGAGUUCAGUGUAGCAAUUUUCCAUCGACACGAUCAAGAAAAUCCGCGUGCUUGGGUGCAUGAGAAUCUCAAGCAUUUGGAAUUGAUUUGUUUCUUCGAAGGAUUUGGCUCGUUGGGUCUUGCCUUCUUGCUCAAGAAUUUCUCUAAACUCGAGACGUUGCGUGUUUCCUGUGUCAAGGAAUCGUCCAUAAAUUAUGUAAGUCGACCAAACCUCAUCACUACCUUGCCUAAAUUAUGCUGCAUUUCGUAGGAUAUACUUUGAAUUUUCAAAGUUUUGAUUUUAUUAGAUAAUAUUAUAAUAUGUUACAUUUAUAUAUUUAAAUUAAAUGUUAACAGUAUUUUAGAUUUGUUUUAUGAUAAAUCUAGUAGUUUUGUAGAAUAUAUAUCAUGCUGUACUUUGAGUUAACAAAUGUUCUAGAAAUAUUAUGAGAAAUCAAAAAGGAGGAAAUUGGAUAACGAAUUCAGAAUUUAUGAAGUUCAAAGAUUUGUGCAUUUUGACCAUUCUUUUGUAUUUCUCCAGUCUUUUAUAUAUAUUCUUUUAUUUUUUUAUUUUUUUUUGUAGGCCAUUCACUAUACAUUAUUUCACAUACUAUUUAAGAGUAAAGGGGCUUUUGGCCGAGGAGGAUACUGGGAUUCUCAUGACUUGUCCCUCAAGCAGUUGGUUCAAGUAUCAGUGCAUGAUUUUUCAGGGGGAAGAUUCGAAUAUGACUUUUUAGAGUUCUUACCUCGAGCGGCAACUUCGUUAAGAAUGAUUACGAUCUCUGCUAAUGGCGAGGAAAUAGUUUUAGAGAAGGUUGAGCAAUUGCGACAAUCUUUUCCACACAUUGAGAUUUUGCUUCAAUUGCAUGGAAGAUAAUUUUGUUACUCUAGAAUCAUUAGCAUGUUAACAAACAAUGCUGACGAUUAGCUAGACAUUUAUUAAUUUGAUUUUAUUUUUAGUUACCUUGAGCUAAUUUAUUGUUGACCAAGGUGUUUUGUGAAAGUUAGUUUGAUUGGAUUAACGAAUCUGUAGAUCCAACGCAACUCAAGUGCAUUGAUGUUUAAGUUUUUUUUAAAUGUAAUUAUUUUUUUGUUGUUUGUUUUGACAUAACUCGUACAGUCUUGAAGUUAAAUUCAAUUAUUUUUUUAUUUGUUUUGAUGUAAUUUGGUGCUGGUGAAAUUAGUUUUUUGAGUUUCAUUGUUUGUUUUGAUAUGAAUAAGUGUUUAGAUUGAGUUUUAUUAUUUUGAUGUAAGUAAGUGGGUGCCAUUAUCUCCUAAAUAUAGUGGUGAACUUACUGCUAUAAAAUUUAACCUAUUAUAUAAUUAAAAUUUUUAUUAUUAUUUAAAGGUAAUUCUAAUUUAUUAUAAAUAAGGUAAUUCUAACCCAUUAUAAAGGAGUAGCGUUUAGGUUUUAAUAUUUAAUAAAUUUUUUAGAGGAGAAAGUCGAGAGUAGCUGAAGUGGAGAUCUAUUAACGUAACUUGAGUUACAUUAUAUUUUUUACUUAGACUAACACAAGUGAUGGAACUUGAGUUCCAUCCCUCCACUUACACUAAAACAAACCGAUCCUAAGUUGCUGGGCUCGACACGGCAUGUCGUGCCCAAAUUUAAAAGCGGGUCGUGUCGGACUGGUCCCUUGCACAUUUCUAAUUUAUAAUCUCAAAAUUAAAGUUUAUAAUUUUAAAUUUUAAUUUUAAAUUUAAUAUUUAAAUUUUUUAGAUUUAAAAUUUGAUAUUAUAUAUUUUCAAUUUUAAAUUUGAUAUUAAAUUUAAUGUUUGGAAUUUAAAAUUUAUAAUUAUAAAAUUUAAAUUUUAAGAUUUUAAAUUUUAAAUUUUAAUUUUUAAUAUUGAGUUUUAAAAGUUAAAAUUUAAAAAUAUAAAUUUAAAAUUAAAAAAUUAAAUUCAAAUCUAAUGAGAGUGGUAAUAUUAUUAUUUUUUAUUUAUAACUGCCCAUUAUUUUUUUUUAUUUCAUCUUAUCUAUUCAAAUAUUAUUUUUCUUAUUUUCAGAAACAACUCAAUUAUUAUUCAAACUUAAACAAUACAUUAAUAAUCUAUUCUCUACAUAUAAAAUCUGUUUGGGGUCAUGUGCGUGUAUACAUACCAAUGCACAUAACAAAUAUUUUAAUAAUUAUUUUAAAUUAAUAUAAAUUUAUAUAUCAUAUUUAUAUGCAAAAUUUAAAUUUUAGAAAGUAAACUCAUUUGUUGUAUACUAUUAAAAAAUAUUUGUCACAUUCUUACUCAAAUUUAAAUAGUUCUUGUCCACAAUAAUUAUAUAGUUAUAUUUUUUUAUUUUAUAAAUAUAUAAUGUAGAUAUAGAUAUACAUUAAAUAUUUUUGUAUAUUUUUGAAUUCAGAUGAAUCCAGAAUUUAAAUACAUAUUUUAAACUAAAAAUAUCAAAAUCUUAAUUCAUGCUUAAUUCAAAAGUUAAAAUUUAAUUUUUUUCAACUUUAAUAAAAAAAAUUUUAAUUAUUAAUUCAAACUUAAUAUCCAAAAAUAAAUUUAAUUGACGAAUAAAAUUUAAAUUUUAAUCUUAAUUUAAAAAUAUAGAAAUUUAAAUUAUAUAAUUAAAUUUCAACUCUAAAUUUUAGAUAAAUAAAAAUUUAAAAUAAAUAAUAUUAAAAUUUAAAUAUAUAUUUGAAAUCAAAUUUAAAUUUGAUUAAUUGAUUGCAAUCAAACAAUAAAAUAUUAGCGGAUAGAAUAGAGAUAAUAUAAUUUUAUUAUUAUAUUAUUUAUUUUAUAUAUAUAAAAAAUUUUAAAAUAAAUCUGCUGAUGGAUGGAAAUUUGAAAUACAUAUGCUAUAGAUAUGAAAUCUACUCGGAGUCGGAUUAAUUCAAUUGUGUGUGUGUGUGUGUAUACAUUUGUGUACAUGUCGCGGACGGCACCGUGUAUUUUCCUAUUUUGAUAAUUCAUCGAUUCGAUUACUGUGGUGGAAAUAAUGGAAGAAGGCGUACCGAGGAAGAGGCGAAGACUUGCGGAGGCCGACCGUAUCAGCGCUCUCCCGGAUCACCUCCUCCACGAAAUCCUCGCCUGUCUUCCCACCCGCAUUGCCGUCAGCGCCUCUCUCCUCUCCCGGCGAUGGCGGGCGGUCUGGACGACGUCCCCCGACGUCUCCUUCACCACCGGCCUCUCCCCCUCCUUCGUCGACUCCGCCCUCCGCCAUCGCGACCCCGCCGUCCCCCUCCGCUCCUUCUCCCUCGUCGCCGCUUCCGCCGACGAAGUCGUCUCCGACCCCGACCCCGCCCUCCCCUUCCGCUCGUGGAUCCUCCGCGCCGCCAGCCCCGCCCUACAACGCCUCACCCUCCGCCUUCCCGGCCGCUUCGACCUACUACCUCCGGCAGUCUUCCACCUCCCCUCGCUGAAGGCGCUCGAACUCCGCCUCUCGGGACGCCUCGAUUGGCCCGCCGCUGCCUUCUUACCUUCUCUACAGAGGCUCGAACUCUCUGACCUUACUUUAUUAUAUCCGGCCACCGAGGACGCGAUCUCGAACAGCUGCCCGGCGCUCGAGUGCUGGCGGAUGUCAUUCGAAUCCGCAACCCCCGAGCUCGAAGUGAAUUGCCCGCUGCUGGAGGUUUUCGAGCUGCGGACGCGCGCCGGGCCGGUGGGGGGCCUCAGUAUCUGCGGGAGCAAGAUCAGGAAGGUGAGCGUGCGGCAGAAGUACGCUGAUGCUGAAUCCUCCUACGGGCCGGCGGCGGCGGCUUAUCUGAAGCUGUCGGCGCCCGGGCUCCGGACUCUGGAGUGGCUCUGCCCGCUGCCGCGCUCCGCGACCGUCGACUCCCUCCCGGAUUCUCUCGCCUCCUCCCUCAUGUUGCUGACGUCGGGCGAGCUCCUCGAUCUCUACGAGAACAGACUGCCGGACGGCGGACAUGUUCUUCCCCUGCUCAGAGUCGAUCGGUUGGUCCUGCCGUAUUCUCGGAUAAUUGAGGUACGGUACAAUUACCUUAAAUCAGCCAGAAAUAUAUAUAUAGUACUAUCUCUUCUUCUUCUUCUUCUUCUCAAUGCACGCCGCUUUAGAGCUAAUACGCGCGAAUAUUAUCGUUCUAAAUUAAAUAAUAAAUUCACAGGCAAAUAUACGGAAACGGAAACAAUUAAUCAUAUGGGCUGACCAAAUAUAACAAUUAAUUAGUUUCAUCUAUAAUGCUUAUAAUAUAAUGAUGAUGAUAAUGCGUAUAUAUUUUCGUUUAUUAUCUUCAAUAGAUAGAUAUUAAUAUGCUAAAUGAAAUAAAUGCAGGAGUUUGGUAUAGCAAUUUUCGAUCGACACGAUGAAGAAAAUCCGCGAGCUUGGGUGCAUGAGAAUCUCAAGCAUUUGGAAUUGACUUUUUCUUUGGAGGAUUUGGCUCGCUGGGUCUCGCCUUCUUGCUCAAGAAUUUCUCUAAACUCGAGACAUUGCAUGUUUCCUGUGCCAAGGAAUCGUGCAAGGACUCGUACUUAAUUCACGUAAGUCAAUCAAAUUAGCCUUAUCACCAUUUUUAACUUUCUUAAAAGCUUAUGGACCUUGUGUAUAAAUUAUGCUGCAUUGUACUUGGAUUUUUAAAGUUUUGAUCUUAUUACAUAAUAUUAUAAUAUGUUACAUUUGCAUAUUUUAAUUAAAUGUUGAACAUAUCUUAGAUUUCUUUUACGAUAGAUUUAAUAAUAUUUGUAGAAUAUUUUGCUGUACUUGGAACGGAACGCUCUCUUAAGCAUAUAUAUUUAGUAAAAAUAGAAAAUUAAUUCUAGCAAGAGUUAACAAACUUUCUAGAAAUAUUAUGAGAAAUCACAAAGGAUUAGCAAAUUGGAUAAUGAAUUCAAAAUUUAUGAAGUUUAAGGAUUUGUGCAUUUUGACCAUUUUAUUUUUAUUUCUCCAAUCUCAUAUAUGUAUGUAUAUAUAUAUAUAUAUAUAUAUAUAUAUAUAUUCUUUUAACUUUUUUUUUUUUUUUUUUGGGUAGGUCAUUCCCUCUGCAUGCUUUCCUAUACUUUUUUUUGAGAGGAAAGGGGGUUUUGGCACAGGGGGAUACUGGGAUUCUCAUAACUUGUCCCUCAAGCAGUUGGUUCAAGUAUCAGUGCACGAUUUUUCAGGGGGGAGAUUCGAAUAUGACUUCUUAGAGUUCUUACCUCGAGCUGCAACUUCGUUAAGAAUGAUUACGAUCUCUGCUAAUGGCGAGGAAAUAGUUUUAGAGAAGGUUGAGCAAUUGCGACAAUCUUUUCCACACAUUAAGAUUUUGCUUCAAUUGCGUGGAAGAUAAUGUUUCAUUGGUAUGUUAACAAACAAUGUUGACGAUUAGCUAGAGAUUUAUCAAUUUGAUUUUAUUUUUAGUUACCUUGAGCUAAUUUAUUGUUGACCAAGGUGCAUGUUUUGUGAAAGUUAGUUUGAGUUUUGAUUGCCUAGUAUCAUUGUGAAAGUUACCUUGAGCUAAUUCUAGUAGACAUUUUGCUUCCACAUACAUGUAUUUGAAACUUUAAAAUUUUGUUAUAAUUGUGAUUGAUAUUUUUUGUUUUCAUAGUUAAUUUUGUUAAUUAUAUAUAACGUGAUAAUAUCAUCUAUUACUAUUAAAAAUUUUGUUGAUUUAUAUUUACAAAAUAUUAAUAAUAGUACAAAUUGUUAAAAAAAUAAUAAUAAUCUUUUCUUGUGUACACUAACACUAACAUAGUGAUAUAAUGAAGGUAACAGAUAAAUUUUUUCGGUGAAUACUUCAGAAAACAAAGUUGACACAANAAAAAAAAAAAAAAAAAAAAAAAAAAAAAAAAAAAAAAAAAAAAAAAAAACCCCAGCAAUAUUAGACCUCAAUUCGCUUUAAUAAAAGCAAAAUAGCUGUUUCUUGCGCUUUUUAAGUACAUUCCGAAACUAAUACAGCUGCAAAAUGUAGUUUGCAAAGCAAGUGUUGCACAACAAUUACUAGAAGAUAUAUAUAUAUAUAUAUAUAUAUAUAUAUAUAUAUAUAUAUAAAAUAAAAACAAAAAUCACCCUAGUUAGGAUGAGAAGGUUGAAGAUCACCACCUCCGCACCAAAGACGUAAGCAACUGGAAAAAAGAAAAAAGAAAAAAAAAAAAGGAAUUAUAAGGGAUUUUCUUGAAAAAGGAAUGUUAAUUCAAAAUCACAAUAUUAUCUAUAUGAUACCAUGUAAUUCAUACUCAAAAAUGCCAACUCAAAACCAUACUAUCUUAUAUGAAAGAGUAAAUUGCGCAUUUGGGUCGUCAAAACUACGAGGCGCAUGACACGUUAGUCCUCAAACUUCAAUUUGUUAUAAUUUUGACUCGAACUUUCAGAAUUGUUGCAAUCAGGUCCCAUCACCCAAUUUAGUUGACCAAGUUUUGAUAUAUCGCAAACGUAGAAGUCAUGCAGCCGUGUUGUGACUAAUGAUCCAUUAACAAUUAAGAUGCUAUAUCAUUUUCUCCUCAGAUGCGUCAUCAACUCAUCAUUUAAUCAACUAAAUUUGGUUGUGGAACUUGAUUGCAAUAAUUCUGAAAGUUCUAACUAAAAAUUAUAACAAACUAAAGUUUGAGAAUUAACGUGUCACCGACCUCAUAGUUUGAGAACCAAACAUGCAAUUAUUACCCUAUUUGAAAGAAAAAAUUAUAAGUCCUUGAACUUCUGGCCAAGUAUUAUUUUGGUCGUUAUUUGAGUAUCCAAACUUUUAAAAGUGUUUUACUUCCGUCCUCACCUUUAUUUAUGUGAAAAAAGGUAUUGCCCACGGCUGGUGUAUCCCCUACAUUCAUGCCUUAAAAAUUGGACCAUUUGUUUCGUAAUAAGAGAUGGAUGUAAGGCCGUUGGGUUUGUGGUGCACAGAUGUAAAAUGAACCAAGCGCAAACGAUAAUCUUUUUUCUCUAAAGUUGGGAGUUAAACUAAAACAAUUUCAAUAGUUUCGGGAUCCUGAAUAUCAAACUUAGAAGUUCGAGGACUAAAAUGAAACUUGAUCGAAAGUUCGCAAUCUGGUAGCAACUUACAGCAACUACUGCUGACACUACAUUUGGUUUAACUAGUUCAACUAGCUGAAAUGUUGAAUUGUUUAUAAUUCGGUGACACCAACAAUCAAGUGAAAGUUGUAAUGUAUGAGGAGCAAGGAAAGAAGUCGCAUUAAUAAGAGGAGACUCCAAAAUUUUUUAAAACAAAGACGAAAUAACAGAUUGCAUGCAUCUUAAGAAAGUAUGGGAAAGUCUAAAUCCACCUAGUCAAGGAAGUAGUGAGAGAGAAUACAAUGUCUUAUUUCUUUCUAUCGGAAAAAGAUACAGCAUCUUAGAUGAAAAAACCUUUGGUGUUUGCAUAAUUUCUUCCUUUUUUCUCAUUCAAGGUCUAGAUGGAAGCUUUAAUUCAUAUGUUCUGGUCCACACGAAGGAAAGUUGCUAAUCAUGUAUAUAGUCAGGCAAAGUUCUGCAGCUAUGAUUAUCCUACAAAUAGAGCAGCAACUGAAACACAGGCAAGGCGAUAAAAAUUGAAAACUGCUCUAGGAAGACAGUAAUUUCUUAAAAACAAGUUUCUAACCUCAAAGAGUUCAAAUGGGCUCCCUUGCCGAUAGACAUCAUUUUGCUUGCUUUGCCUACCAGAAAGAAGGUUGGAAACAAGUGCUCGCCAUACAAGAAGCAAGACCCCGGUACUUGCCAUGGUUACCAAUAUAAAGUUAAUUGGCGGGAUAUGACCUGAUGUUACUGCCCUGAUGAUAAUUCCUAACUGCAAGAUGGAAAAGAUAAAAGGGAAUUAGAAAAGAACAAGGGUAAGAAGCAUUUUCACCAGCAAGUUAAGCAACAAUCGCAUGGGACAGGUUGUCGAGACAUUGAAAAUAUUAGAAAUUAGGGAUAUUUCUUUACUGACUAAGAAAUCACUCCACAAUGAUUUGACCUAAUGCCUAGCUUCUGGAACAGAAUCGAGAUUAUUAAACUGAAACUAUGAAAAUUCCUCGAAGAAUCAUACGAUGCCCUCGUUCAGAGAGUAAAAUAUACAAAUAAAUUUCCAACUCAAAGAAACUAAUCUACUCUCCAUCAAUUGAAUUGCAAGCAAAUGGAGUCUUACCGGUAUUCCAACUGCCCAGGACUUAGCAGCAGCAGUAAUGGCUUUCAUGGAACCAUUCAUCCCUUUCCCGUCAUCCCCAUAAGCUCCAAGAAAGUAGGCACUCAGUAUCCACCCUACAAAAACAUCAACCCAGUUAUCAUGAGGACCAUCAAGAGUAAAACCCAUUUAUAAAUUCAAAUAAAGAUUGAAAUUUUUCUAACCAGCAAUGAAAGGAUCUGCAGUCUUCAAAGUCUCAAAGUCAAGAACAGCAAACCCAUGGCUGAACCUCCCAACAGCCGAGAAAAUAAGGAGGCAGAGAACAUCCCCACCAGCCAGUAGACCCACCUGCCUGAAAACCUAAUCCCACAUUAGCAAGGAUAAAAUGCAUCACGAGCUCUCAAAAUUUCUAGUCAAGUUUCAAUUUGUUCCCCAGUGUUUCAAAUUCUUUGGGUAAAUAAAGCCCUAGGUCUCUAAACCAUUGCAUAAGAAUAGUUUGGUCACCAAACUAUAAUUUGAUAUAUUAGGGGGCUCGAACUUAAAAAUAUUCUAAUCAAGUCCUGCUACAUGCUUCCAUCGCUUAAAAGUGACGGGAAUCCAAUGUCAUAUGCCAAAUACCAAUUCAUAUGCUCAUCAAUUACUUGUGUGUGCCAAAAACUCUCCUUGAUCUGUAGAAUUAACUCUUUCAAAAGCCUUCAUAAAUCUAGAUUAUUAGUGUGGAAAUAAUGUAUUGUCAUUGCUUGAAAUAGUGAUUGAUGGACUUAGGAACAGUAGCUUGGCAUGCAAUGUCAGAUUUCCAUCUCUCUGGACGAUAUAAGUGAAAGAUGGGACUCAGAUUGGAACAUUUAAAGUUCAAGUGCUCUAAUGCAACAAAUCAAGUUUAGGGACCAAAGUGGAAUUGGAACAAUAGUUCGGGAAGACAGGAACUAAUACUAAAAUGUACCUCAAUUUUCACAAUUGGCAUCUGAACCUCUGCAUCCAAUUACAAUCUAAUGUUUAGUGUAGUGUUGACGCUAGUUACAUGACGUUGCAUAAGCAUUUCUUUCCCUUUCAACGGAUGAAUCAAGGUAAAAAAAGGGUUAGGAACCAAACUGACACUUUGCAGACUCAUUUGGAGCAUUGCAAAUAAUUAAUCAUCCGAAUAUAAUACCCUGGCAUGGUCGGUUGUUAGUGUUUUGAAGGGUUGUGCAGCUCGGUUAAAGAAUUUUUCUCCUGCUAAAGUUGCCUAGUCUAGAAGAAACCAUAAUUGUUCCACUGCUAAAAUCGCUAACUAACACUUUAAACUCAUGACAUGAUUGCAAAUGGUUUGACGAACUAUCAUUCUUGUAUCAAAAAGACACUUCUUGCCAAAUAGUUUGGGUAUUUUCGAUCAAAUUAAUGAAAUUAACAAACUAGAACUUGAAAAAUAGAUGACAUUACAAAAGAUUAGGAAUGAAUCACAUGGAACCAAAUAUAAGCGGUUAAGCUUUUGGUAUCAAACGGACACUCUGGUAAUUAAGAGGGUUGAGGAAUUUAGCAGACCCAAAUGCCAAAACUAAGAGUUUUGGGGCCAAGCUGACACUUUAUUAAUCAAAUGUGUUAAGGAUUCUCGAUCAAAUCUCUCAAAUUAACGAAAAUUAGGGCUAAAUUUUGAACGGACCCAAAGCCAAAAAUUAAAGUUCCGAGCCCAGCUAGAUACAUUGUUAAUUAAAGGUGUUGAGAAUUCUCAAUCAAAUUUCUGAAAUUAACGAAGCAGAACUUGAAAAUGAGAUAAGAUUACAAAACAUUAGCGAUGAACUGAACGGAUCCAAAUACCAAUAAUUUAAACUUUGGGAGCAAAGCGACACUUCGUUAAUCAAAAGCGCUAAGGAUGCUUAACGAUCAGAGUUCAUCAAAAUAGCAAAAACAGUAAAAAGGGGAACAAAAUCAACGAAGAUUAUGAGAAAUUACGCCGAGGAGAGGAGCUUGGACGAGACCCCGCGCGGCUUCUCGAACUGGAUCACGCCUUCCAAGGGGACCUCGUCGUCGCCGACGAAGACGGUCUCGCCGCCGCCGCCGCCACCGUGCUCCGCCGCGGAGGGGAGGGGGCGAGUCGAGGGGCCCGCGGCGUCGUCGGCGCUGGAGAGGGAGAGGCGCGGAGUGAGAGGAGGAGGGGGGCUUCGUCCUCUUCUUCCGAUUCUAGGGUUUCGGAGGGGGAAUUUGGGGGUGGGUUUGGAGAAGAGGGGAGAGGCGGAGUAGGGUUUGGGGAGGAGGGAGGAAGGUGCAGGGGAAGGGCACCGCCGCGCCGAGAGAGCGCCGUUCGGAGCUUGGCUCAGCACCAACAUCGUCGCCGUAGGAUUGGGGUGUGUGUGGUUCGUGCUCUACGUGGGUGAGAAGCCUCAUUUUAUUCAUUUAUUUAUUUAUUUAUUUAUUUAGUUAUUUAUGGCCUUAUUUUUGUAUUAAAAUUUUUGGAUUAAUUUCAUACAUGAUCCUGCAAAUAUAGUAAAUUAUAAAUAUAUCUCCAUAUAGUUUAACUUUUAUAUGUUGUCUUUACAAAAAUUUUAAUAUUUUUAAAUAUAUUCCUUUGAUUUAUUACCGUUAAAGUACCAUCUAUUUUAUAAGCACAAAUAUCUUCCUUCAAAAGUUUAAUUAAAGAUGAAUAAAAAAAUCAAAUCUUAUUCGGGAUGCACCCCUAGCUUACCAGCAAUAGCUAGUUAGGUUUCUUGAAAAAUAAGGAAAUUCAGAAAAUAAUUUUUGGACCUAAAAAUGAUAUUCUUCAGUUCGAUUUUCAGAAAAAAAAAAAAGAAUUAUGAAGAAUUUUUUUUUGUUUUUCAAUUUUUGUGUGUGAAAAAAUAAACACUUUGAAAAAAGUGUUUUUCACAAAAAAAAAAAAAAAAAAAAAAAAGAUUUUCACGAUUUUUCGAGAAACCAAACAAAGGGAAAUUUUUUUUAUAAAAGGACUAUUUCAAAAAAUUAGAAUUAAUGAAUUAUUUAUCAAAUUUGAGAAAAUAACUGUUACAAAUUCAGCAAUAAAAUCUUGUAAAAACAAACUGGCAGUUAAAAUUAGUUAGAACAAUUGCUGUAAGAUCAUAUAAGUUAAAUAAAAUUAUUCAAUUACCUUUGACACUAUUAGCAAGAGUGAGGCUACUAAGUUAUCGGAAGUACGGAGCCUUCCGUGCUUCCAGCUCGUUUUCNUUAUAUUAUGUUUUUAAAGCUAAAAAAUGAAACAUAAAAAAAAUAAAAUAAAUAAAAUAGUGAACACGACGAGACCCUUCCCAAAUUGGGAAGCGGCGUAAGUCAAAAUUUAUGCGGUCAUUGGAAUCGGCAACGCUGACGAAAAUUACGGCUGCAUCAAAUUUCGCGCUCAACUCCUCUCCGGAAAAAAAAAAAUGUUCUAUGCGGACGUACCUUCAUAAGCCAAUAUGCGGGGGGAAUUAAAAAUUUCGGUUUUAAAUAUCUUAUUAUAUUUCUAAUCUGUUUUUAUUAAAUAAAUCUUUUAAGUAACACAAAAUUAGAGCCCGCUCUAAGCUCUCUCUCAAUUGAAAGAGAUCGUAUAAGUUCAUUUUCUAUAAUCAUUCACUUAUCCACAUAAUAUUAUUACAUAAGAAAAAAGUUAUUAAAAAUUUAUAUUUAGAUUCUAAGCUUAAUUUCUUGUUAAAUUUUAGAUUUUGCUGAUGCGUUUGGUGAGUAAAUUACGAUGCAUUCAUGUACAUAAUUUGGAGGGGUUUAGAUCCAUUCUCUGAAAUAAGUACGAAAUCAAACAAAAUAUAUAUAAACUGGUUUAAUUCGUCGGAUUUUAAAGAUUGGUUUGACAAAGAUAUCUAAUUACUCAUCGUAGUCGCAUUUAUAAAGAACUUUAUAUAACUCUUUUUUGGAAAAUAUAUAUAUUACUUACACAGCUACAUUUGAUGCUAUAUAUAUAUAUAUAUAUAUAUAUAUAUAGAGAGAGAGAGAGAGAGAGAGAGAGAGAGAGUGUGUGUGAGACUAUUAUGCUAUCGGAAGCACGGAGCAUUCCGUGCUUCUAGCUUGUUUUCGAUGUUGCGACUUUCGAAUAGUCGAUCGGCUCCAUUAAACUUGAUCUAGAGUAUUUGGAGUACCUAGAAAAUAAAUUUUAUAAUUUUACGAUAUCAUUUGCCUAGUGAACGAAGGGCUCAAAAUCAACGGCUGAAAAUAAAAAUCUUACAAAAUGUAAUAAUAUGACAUUAAAAUUUUAAAUCAAAGAUAUUGAUCUUGUUUUAUAUAGUAUAAAAAAUUUUCUAUCAAAAUUUCACGUGAUUUGAAUAUUUUUACACCGUUAAACUUGCAAACGGCUCACUACGGCCAUUGAAAUUUGUUGAUUUUGAGCCCAUUCGAUCACUAGGCAAAUGAUAUCGAAAAAUAAUAAAAUUUAUUUUCUAGGUACUCCAAAUAUUCUAGAUCAAGUUUAACGGAGCCGAUCGACGAUUCGAAAGUCGCAACAUCGAAAACGAGCUGGAAGCACGGAAGGCUCCGUGCUUCCGAUAGCAUAGUAACCUCACUCCUAUUAGCAAAAUAAGAAAUCUUUUUUAUUUAAUUUUUUUUACCCAUUUUCUUAGUUGCAAAUAAGAUAGAUGUUGAGAUGCGAAAUAAUAACUAACUCGUUUUAGUGAAGUUUUAUAUGCAAAUUUACCAGCAGCAUUAACAGAUCAUCCAUAAUUUAGACCUCGUGAACACAUCCAAUGGUAUACAAUCAACAUAGGUACAAAACAAAUCUCCAUAGAUGAUUAAUAUCAAAUGGGCCAAUGAAUAAUUAUUCCUAUCAAAUUAUGAUCAAAUCAAUAUGCACAAGUACUCUUCAUAGACAAUAAUUAUCAGAUCAUUGGCCAGUGAAUAAUUUUACGUGUGCAAUGCAAAAACACAAAAUUACUGGUAUUACAUAUACUUACCAUAUUACUGGUACAAACUCUGAGCUCUCAAAUAAUGAAUAACAAAUAAACUAUAUCUAUAUUUUAAUCAAUUUUUCCUGCAACAGGAACUUUGCAGCAUAUGUCCAGGAUUUCGUCUAAAGGAGCAUGAUCGCCUGUGCCUUCGUCUUUCCUCGCGUAUAACAAUUCCUUUCCCUUAAAUACAAACAUACCGCCCUGCAAAACAGGAGAAAGAAACCGAUUUUUGAGUAAUUUUUGUCUAUCAUAGCUUCUGAAAUGGCUUCUCUAUUCCAAACAACAGCAACCAGGCUUUAUCUUUGCUGUAGUUUUUGUUUUUGUAAAUGCAAAUUUUUAUGAUCGGAUGCACCAGUAGUUGGGCUUACCUAUUCUGGUCAUCAUUUGAUGCACCCUGAUGUGAAUUGGCAUCUUCUUGAAGAAAAAACAAAGAAGCGAAAAAAAAAGUUUCUACUGAGAUAUUUGGUUUUGGCGUCGAAGUAGACCCGAGCUGCUAAUGGAAUGAAGUGUUUCAUCAUCCACCAAGAUAACCAGUGGCAUCGAAUUUAUAUUUAGAAAAACAAAAGAAAAAAGGCAAUGAAACCAAACGAGACCUAAAACUCUUGCGGUCGCAAGAAGCAAAAAUGAGCUUUUACACUCCGAAAGAAGAAUCAGCUUAGGGUACAGCAGUAAGCUGUUUCAGACUCUUUAACUAAAAAGCAAUUGAUGCUUCUUUUAACAGAACUACUCAAAAAACACUUCUAUACAAGCUCUGGACGGAUAGAACGGGCGCAAAGGACCAAACGUUGAAUUAAAUCGUGACUAGAGAUGAUACUGGUAUAAGCUAUUCAACAAUAAAUAACCUGCUGCAGGACGCUGGCCCUGUCAUCAGGAGUGGCUUCAAUUGUGUAGUUCUUCACUGCGUUCUUAAGAGACUCGAAUCUCGAAAAUACCUUAGCCUGUUGAAUGGCAAUCCAAAAGCAUAUCAGAAUGAUUAAUACAUGAGAAAAAUCAAAAUAUAUUAUACUUAAAUAUUUUUCUAGCAAACUCGGCAACAAUUUGGCAGAGUACAUUUGAAUGAAAAAUCUGAUGCUUACACUGGCCGGAUUGAAGAAUGUACGGGCCAAACCAUAGUAUAGACCUAAGACAUCAUAUGCCUGAAAGUGUUGGACAAUGCAAAGUUACACUCCACAGUAGUACAGGCAGAAAAAUAAAUUUCAACUUACGAAAACUAAAUCAAUGGGCUCUUGAUAUUGGUUUUCUGCUGAGAUUGUGUUUUCAUUAGGCCUAUAUACUUCAGAUAAUUCUUUUUAUUUUUUGAUUUUCAACAAAAAUUAAAAUUAAAAUUAAAAUAAAUAGUAAAGGCCCUGCUGAUACAUCAAAAUAAUUACUGUGAGGUAAUUAUUAUCAGAAACAAAUGCAAUGUUCACAAUACUGAGUAAAAUAGCCGAAACCAAAAGAUCAGCCGGCGAGGAAACAGUCCAGAAGUCUUUUAAGUCUCACCACUUUGCUCGUGUACGAUGGGGAAUGACAAGCAAGUGGAAUUAACAAGUGGGGCAUUGAAUAGGUAUUUAACAAGAUUUAACACAUCAAAUUUUUGAACAAUAAUUUAACUUGUUUUAUAUACAUGGUAGAGAUUGGUUUCACAAAUCAAGGAACCGAGGGGAUUAAAAGUUUAAAUUGGAUCUUAAAUCACAUUAUUCCACAAGAUUAAUCUGUGACAAAAAGGUCCAGGAACUCCUUAAUGUAACCAACUUAAAUAUAUGUAUUGAUAAAAAAAAUUAGUAAAAGGAGGUUAGGCAGUUUCACAAUCUUUAAACUCACUUUUCCAUUCAGUCACGUUCAACAGAUGUAUCUUCUAUUUCCGAAAUACUAACAUUCUUAGAAAUGAAAGGAAGUGUUAGUUUGAACACUUUUUGUAAAUUAUGAAUUUUGACUUCACAUCUAAAAUAGGAAUGGUUGUUCACUAUACGAAGAAGAAAACAAGCGAAUCGGGUGGUACGACACUCAAUCCCUCAUCAAGUAACCAGUUUUCUUAAGAACCACAAAAAUGGCUUAUGUGUAUUAAGAUGAUGUUUAUAUAACAUGGGCAUGUCCAUGCUUCAUACUUAACAAGAAGUUGAGAACAAGAAUUAUCACCUUGCGGUCUGGAUCUGCAUAAAGGCAAUCCGAUGGAAAAGGAAGCUGCAUGAUACAGAAAAAAAAAAAAAAAAAAAAAAAGUGUAUUAGAAAACCAGAGAUCAUUUGCAACCCAAUGUCCACAUACUACAAAGAUCUUCAAAUGAAAAACAAAAAUGAUCCUCUACUAACCAUAAAGCACAGAAGAAAAUUUGGAACUUAAAAUAUAUAGUAUUUUCUAUUGAAUUUUACUGACCUUAAGAAUGAUAUGAUGCUAGAAACUACUCUGCAGUGCUUUAAAUCUCACACCAACAACAUUUAGUUUUCUACAAGUAUAUCUAACAUAAGAAGCUAUAUCUGAAGCACAAUCCUUUUCCGGCUACAUGAUCAAAAGAGAGAUUGUUUAGUCAGGCUACAUAGAAUGUAGAAAUGUUGCAAAAAAAAUUUCAAUGCAUAAUUAUCAUGUAGUUUUCAAAGCCCAGAGAAAAUGGCCUUUUAUAAUGAUAGAGCUAAACAAAUUUGGACAUGCAAUGGUACCUUCAUGUGAACCAUCACAUUGUAUUUGUGGUGAAGGGAAUCACUAAUCUGACAAAUGAACUCAAACAACAAAUAUUUGCACUGAAACUUCACACCAACUGCCCACUUGUACACUAAUGACUAGAAGGGCAAUUACCCGUUCAGCUAGAAUGCGAGCUUUAUCAGGAGUACCAACACCAAUUGCAAUUAGUUUGACUCCGGCCGAGUCAAAUCUUGACUUUGAAUCUCUCAGAACAGAAGCAAGCUCCCAACUUCAAGUCAUUACAACAGAUGCAAAAUUCGAUUUGAGUUGGUUUUGAAUAUUUUCAUCAGUUAUGCACUUCAAAUUAUUUAAUUUGCUUACAACAAGGGACAAAACAUACCAGCAAGGACAUCCAAAAUGCCUUAAAAGUGCCACUACGGCCAUUCCCUGCACAAACAAACAAAAUACAGGUGUGAGUAUUAUUAUUAUUAUUAUUAUUAUUAUUAUUAUUAUUAUUAUUAUUACUGCAGAUGGAAGAAAGGCAUCUGCACGAAAAUGGCAAGAAGCUACAAAAGAUUCUUCUUUUAACAAUUAAUUUUACAUUAUACACUACGUAAGCAAAUAGAAUCCAAGUGUGAGUGUCAUGAUUUCGGGGUAUUCAUUUCAGACAGUAAGCAUUAACUGGAAACAGUUUGUUCCUUAGUUAGGGAGUUAAUCGCCGACUACAUUAAUUUGGGGCUUUGUGGUUAAUUGAAACAAUUGUUAAGAUUAUGCAGUUUUGUUAAAUUAUGUGGAACAAUCGUCAUUCUCCAAUCGCUUAAGCUAUCAAAGAAUGGUAUUUUAUAUUUUAUCUUCAACACUCCUUAUGUCUGGACUCGAGAUUUUUUUGCUAUGGUCAAGACGUGGACUUGAAUUAAAUGGGAGAAAAUGAAAUGGUACUAGAGCGCUGGUAGGAUUUAUCCUGCUCUGAUACCAUGUUAAAUUAAUGAAAAAUAAUUGUUUAUCCCCAAAAGCUUAAAGCUAUCAUUGAACUAGAACUGUGCUUUUAUAUUUUAUCUUCGACAAUUUCACUCUAAAUUCUUAAUUUUGAGCCGCGAUAUAUAAUAGGUACAUGCUUUUAUGCAUGGACUUAAGUCCAGAGAUCGAGUACUUGAGCACUGCAGAGGUAAGGAAACAACCCUAACUCAGCUAAUGAUACAUCCAGUAGAGGAAUUACCAACAUAAAUUGGAAGAUCCAAGGAGAGAAAUUGGAGAAAGAAAGGGGAUUCGACCUCGUUCUGAUCCCACAGGUCUCUAAUAAAGACGGGCUCCCCAGUGGAUGCGGGGAAGAUGGCGACGUCGCCGAGAUCGUCCACGGCCGCCGAAUCAAAGCCCGAUGAGGAAGCAGCGGAUCCCGCCGCCGCCGACGCCGCCGGAGCUGGGUGGAUUGCCGGAGGGGAGCGGCGGCGGCGGAGGCUUCGCACGGGAGAGACAAGGGUGGGGAAGGGUUUCGGUGGGGGAGAGAGGAGGGGAGAUCGAUAGGGGCGGAGGAGGGAGAGAGAGUGGAGAGAGUGGGUCGCCAUUGUCGAUUUCGCGUGAGGGGAAACCCUAGCCCUAACCCUAUGUAACAGCCUGGAGAAUAAAGGAGUAGAGUAGUUAAAAGGGAAAGUAGUAAAAAUGGUAAAGAAGAGGAAUAAAUGGUAGCAGCAAGGUGGAGAGCGAGCUCGGCGGAGCGAUCCGGCGAGGAGUUGUGUCGGUGGAACUCCGGAGCGGAUCCAAAAGGCGGACCCAAUAUCCGCCGGGCUGUGGAUAGUGCGAAGAAGAGAGGACCGAAACCCACUUACCCGGUUACCACUCAACNAAAUGGGAGGAUCGAUGUUGGAGGAGAAAAUCCGACAGAUUUUGGCAAUUGGGGAAGAUGGAAGCCGGCGGGUCGAAUUGGCAGAUCUUCGGAGCGGAUCCAAAAGGCGGACCCAAUAUCCGCCGGGCUGUGGAUAGUGCGAAGAAGAGAGGACCGAAACCCACUUACCCGGUUACCACUCAACUGAUGGAUCGGGCGGUCGGAUUACUGGAUCGGGUGUAAAACGCGGACUCGCUAUCCGCUCGUCUGAGGAUCAUGCGGAGAAGGAAGCCCGAUAUCCAAUCACCCGAUUACAUGAUGCUCCUGGACCGGUCAAGCCAACGGGGGCCCAAUUACCGCAGAAUUAGCAGCCCAUCAGGCCCAUAUCUCAUAUUAGCACUUUUGCUGUUUAGCCCUCAGAUAGUAGUUAAUUUUCCUUUCAGUUCAAGUCACCAAGUAGUAUAAAUAUCAAAGUGUAAUGUAAACAGGGAUCUAUCGAUGAAAUGCAUUAGCUUGUCUUCUUCCCCAAUUAUCCUCUUUUUCUCAUUCCCCAAAACCCUAUUCUUAUUCUUCUAAAACCCUAUUCUCUUCCUCCCAAUCUCUCUCCCUAUCUCUCUCUGUUUCUCUACCUCUCCUUCUCUUUCACAAACUCACCUCCAAAUCACCCCAAAUCAUCCGGUACAUAACACCCUAACCCUAGAAACGCUCGUCGUCUCUUUUUUUCCGUAUUAGGGAAGAGAGUGACCGUCGUAGCCGGGAAGAAGGCCAUUCCGUGAGGCGGGAAACGCAGCGGUGAGACUGUGAUGAGAGUCUUCCACGCGUCUUCGCUCUGUUUCACCAAAAAGUUUCUUCUUCUUUUUUCUUUUUUUUUUUUGCAUUGAAGCAGCUAAAAAAAUUAAUUUCAUAUAGGUCCCUAUAAAUACAGUAAAUUGCAAAAAUUUUCUAUAAAGUUCAACUUUCAUAUAUUGUUUCUGUAAAAAUUUUAAUAUUUUCAAAUAUGUCCUUCUGAUUUGUUACAGUUAAAGCACUGCUUAUUUUAUAAGUGAAAUGACAUUUUUUUCAUCAUAGUUAUAUCCCUCCAAAAAUUUCAACUGUUAAUUAAAGAGAGGUAAAAAAGUCAAUUCAUCUCAUUAAUUAACUAGGAUUAAGUAUUUAAUCUAUAGUUAACUAAAUUAUUCUAGCAUAUUCUAACGACAAGGACAUAUUUGAAAAUAUCAGGACUUUGUAGGAGAAACAUAUAAAGUUGAACUUUGUAAGGACAUACUUGCAAUUCAUUAUAUUUGCAACAACCUGUAUACAAUUAAUCCAAAAAAAUUAUAAAUAACUAUAGCAAAUUUAUAUUUAUAUAAAUAGUCAUCUCCUUGCCACGCGCUUAGGUGAUAUUUUUAAGUUGAACACAUUGAUUCAAUCACUGUAUUCUUUUUUGUACGAUGAUUGAAUUACUGUGUUUCCUUUUGUAUUUUUUUCGCCCUGUAGAUAUGAACAUGGUGAUUCAAUUAUCGUUUUCAACUCAAAAAUGCAAAUAUGGCACUCUCGUGGCAACGAAAGGGUCAUAUAUGCACAUAUAAAUUUAUUAGGCUCAUUUGUAAAAAGAAAUUGAACUUGGUUAAAUGCAAAAGAAGCCCAUUAGUUUACAGUUGCUACUAUUUAUUUUUAUUAUUUGAUUUAUUUUAACUUUCAUCAAAAUUUAAACUCUUUAAAAUAGUGAGGUUGAAGCCAAUUACAAAUUGAAAAGGCUUUUGUUUAGGAUAUAUCCUAUUCAAAAUUUUUAAAUUUAUUCUGUAAUUAUCAAAAUAUCUUCUAAAUUUUUCUUGGAGUUCGAAGACAUUUAAGAAAUUUUUGAAAAGCAAUAAAGAUAUUUGGUCAAUCAGAAAUAUAUUAAAUAUUUUUGAAGUUUUGAAGGAUAUAUUGUGUAUUAUUCGAAAAAAAUAAUGAGAAAAAAUAAUAAAAUGUUAACACAUCUCUCACCCCUCUAGUUUUUACCUUUUACUACCAAACAAAUAAUAAAAUUGAAAAAACUUUAGUUUCACAACUGUGCAAAUAAAUAGCAGAAGAAAGUGAAGAUUUUCUUUGGCUUCUAAUAUUGAGAUUUACACUACAAAAUAUCAAGAGUAAUAUACAAAUAGUUGACAUUAUUCAGAAACAAUUACCCAAACUACUAGCCUCCGAAAAGUUUGUGAAUUUCUACUCUUAAAUUCUAAAGAUUUUUUCAAAUAUAGUAAAUUGUAUUCUGAAUAUAAUAAUUUUUCAUCAUUUAGCGAUAGAACUUCAGCAAAUAUUCUUAUGGAUUAGAAUUGUUAUAUUUAUGCUCUCCCACCUAUUUUUAAUUUGCAACUAUUUUUAACCAUAACAAACCAAAAUGCACUCAUUAAUUAAUUAUUAUGCAAAGUUUUCUUUAGCAAUAUGCCAUUAUGCUAUUAUCAAAAUAAUGCUCAUGACUUUUAGUUGUAAUCUAUUUUUGCUCCUCCAAACAUUAAUAGCUUGAUAGACAGGAUAUUAGGCAAAAUAAAAUUCUUAAAAUGACUUCAAAAUAAAAUUAUUAAAAAUCUAAAAUAAAAUAAAUAAAUAAUCAACCAUAAUAAUAUUUGAUUUUAUUUCAUUAUUUUGAGAGAAAGAUAGUAUGCUACACGUUUCGUUUAUUUCAUUUAGAAUAAACUUAGCUGGAAAUGUGAAUCAAUUAGAAUUCGAACUUGGGUCUUGGGUACCAACCACUAAGCCCUUUGCCACUUGCUCUAGGGACGGUUGGUCAUUAUUAUUAUUAUUAUUAUUAUUAUUAUUACUAUCAAAUCUCAUGUUUACCUUACUUUCUAUCUACUACUCUUUUUUCUCUCCAAGUCAUGCAUGAACACAAAAAUAACAUGAACAUAACUUUUAGCCCCACAAGCUCCAAACCUGUUUUACAUAAUUGCAGCUCACAAAUAUGUGAGUCACACUUUCUUUCAAUGCAAUAAAUUAAAUAAGCCUUUAUUAUCAUUUUUCAAUUCUAAUUAUAUAUUAUCAACCAAAAAUACUAGAUUUUAAGUUAAAAAAGAGUUUUACAUCGCAUUUUAGCGCCUACUUUUAGCAUUCACUAUUUACCUUUACAAUAUUUUCUUCUUUCUCAUUCCUACUCUCUUACAACUCUCUAUCUUUUGCUUCUUUGGAUGCCUUGAGAAAAAAAUCAAGUGUUAAAGGCAAAUUUAUAGAUUGGACAUGAUUAUCAUGGCAUGAUUUUUUGUAGUAACUUAGCUAAAACCAAAGUGUUAGGAUUGCAACUCUCCACUUUUAUACAAAAUUAUACAUAAAUCAAAGGAGAAUAGUGAAAAAAAAUUCCUUUUUGAGAAUUUUUUUUAUUUUUAAAUUUUUAAUUUUAUAUGCAUAAAAAUAUACUAAUAUAUAUUAAUUAUAUUUAAAAUAUGGGUGAAAAUAUAUGCAAAACACUCAACUAAAGGCUAUAUUCUAAACUACACUGUUUUUAUUAACACUUGAUGUACUAAUUUUUUUUCUUUUUUUGAAUUUGUUAUCCUUACAUAAAAUCCAAAUAAUAAUUAGAAAGUAAUUAGGGAAGAGAGAGAGAGAGAUAGUUCAGUUUGAAUAUUAUUAAUAAGGGGCAAUUUCUUAUAUACCCCUGCAAAGUUUCCGACUUUCCGAUUUACCCCUCUUAGAAGGCUAAUAUUAAAAAUAUUCUUUCUACGUUCCAACAUAUUUCUAAUAUACCCCUAAAGUUAAAAUCUGUUAAUUAACUCUGUUAUCUCUGUAAAAUUACUAUUUUGUCCUUUUAAAUAUACCUUGACUUUCUUAUUUGUCUUUAAAGUCAGGGGUAGAAAAAGUAUUUUGACUUUUGGUCUUUUUCAAUAUACCCCUCUGCCGUCACCAAUAUUUCUAAUUUGUCCUUAAGCUAAGGGCAAAAUUGAUAUUUUAAUUUUUUUUAACUGCGUAGAUAUUUAACUCACGUUUAACUCAAGUUAACUUAACAGGAGAUAACUGCGGGAGUAUUUUGCAAUAACGGUGGAACAUAUGAGGGGUAUUUUAGAAAGAAAAAAAAAAAAGGAAUAAAUCGGAUAUUUUCAAACGUAUGAGGGGUAUAUAAGCAAUUAUUCCUAUUAAAAUAAUAUAUAGAUAGUGCGUAUAUACUACAUAUUUUUUAUUCUUUGGAUCCAUACUAGUAUAACAACAAAAUAGUAAAUUCUAAGCAUUCAACUACUAAAAAAUUUAUAGAAUGCACUAUUUACAGGGAAUUAAUAGCGCGUCGGUUUAAUAGCCUUUCUCUCUAUAUGUAUGGCCUAGCUAAGAUACUUUUGAUAACACUGAAUAGUAUAUACUACCAACUUUUAAUCCUCGAAUAUCUAGAGUUAAUUAUUUGUUGGUGAUACUGGUAUAGAUCUAAUGGCUAAAAUAUGUACAACUUAUACUAUUUAUGUGCUAUUAGUAGUAAUUUAAGUAGAUUAUAUAUAAAGAGAGAGAGAAUAUAGUUUGGAUGAUUUAAAAGCACUAACGCUUUAGUGCUACUAAUAUUUUGGCCCUUAAAUUAUGCAUAAUAGAGUGCCCCGCCAUAAGCCACGUUAGUUCUAUAGCCAAAAGAGUUGAUUAAAGGGCACAAAACUUUGAAGCACGCUUCUACAAACAUUCCGACUCAAUUCCAUAUAUAUAUAUAUAAUUGUCUGCCACCACGAAUGACGCACUUCGCACGGCUGAUGGAUUUCAGGCCGUGGGGUAGUAUUCAUGAUGUAGAUUAAAAUAUAUGUAUGUAUAGUUAUCAGGUAUUGCGGAUCCAUGGCUUCCAAUAAACGCAAGCGUCUAUUGUUAAUUACCCCUACAGAAUAUUAGGGCACCUUCGAUUAAGAAACCUCUGAAAUGCUGAAGAUAAACUAGAAUUGGACAAAAGGGAAUUCAUAAUUUAUUGCUCAAUUACAUGGCUUUAACCAAGGGCAUACCCUCAGUGUACAUGAAUAGAGCGUAAAGAAAAUGUAUUUUUCAAUUGUAUCUUAGUUAUAUAUUCUAAGAUACCCAAUAUAUGGUCAAAUUAAUUUUGUUGGACUCUAUAUGUUGUGGAGCUCAACACUAUUCACCCUAAGAUGAAGGAUUGAUUAAAUUCCAUAUAUAUACAUUGGAAUUUAAUCAGAUUUAAUUCAGAUUAAACUCUAAUUAUAUGUAUUAGAGUUUGAUUUGGUUAAUUGAACUUUAAAUGUAUGGUUGUAAAGUCCAAUAGAUGAUCAGAUUUCGUUGAGCUCUAUAUAUUUUGGAGCUCAACUUUGUCUACCAUGAGAUGAAAGUUGAUUAAAUCCCAUAUAUAUGCAUUGGAAUUUAAUCGAAUUUGAUUAAACUCUGAACUUUAAAUAUAUGUAAAUAAAGUCCAAUAAGUUUGAUUUGAGCUUUUAUCCUAAAUAUAUGUGUUAGGAUUAGCCCCAAAUAUCUUGAAUUAGACUCUAAUUUUUAUAUUUUAGAGUCUGAUACAAUUAGGCUCUAAGUUUAUGUAUUAGGAGUUAGUCACAUUAUAAUUUUGGUUCAUCUUCAAGGUGAAAAUAUUAACUAAAUCUAAUUAUAUGUAUUAGGAUUAGUCAGAUUUGAUUUAAAUUAAACUCCAAGUAUAUGUAUUGGAAUCCAAUAAAUUAAUUUGAUCAGAUGGUUUGAUCAAUUCUAAAAAUAUAGGUUUAGAAUUGAUCAAGUUUGAACAUGAUUGUGAUUUGACUCUAGUUUUAUUAUGCUAGAGAAUCGAAUAUUUUGGGAAAUGGGAUGUCGUGAAAUUGAACUUGAGUUUAGUUUAACGACAUUUCGGUCGAUAUCGGAUUAGGUUUAGUUUAACGACGUUUCGGUCGUUUGUUUGGUGGAUUAGUUUAACGACGUUUCGGUCGAUAUCAAAUUUAGGUUUGGUUUGGUUCACAAGGUUUAUGGUAUUGGGGUAUAUGGAUUAUGGUUCAUGAACUUAGAUAUGCGUUCAUGGGUUUAUGGUUCAUGGACUUAUGGUUCAUGGACUUAUGGCUCAUGGGUUUAUGGUUCAUGGACUUAUGAACUUGAUUGAUUCAUGAACUUGAUCAUAGUUUGUGGAUUUGGUGUAUGGUAUGGUCCACAGGAUUUGGUGUAUGGUUUGGUCCAUGGUUUUGGUUCAAAGUUCACGGACUUGGUUAAAGGUUAUGGGCUUGGAUAUGGGUUAAAUGUGUAUGGGUUCAUGGGUUAAUGUAUAUAGUUUAUGUAUAUGAGUUAUGGGUUAAUGGUUUUAAUGAGUUUUGGAUAAUGGGCUUAGAUAGUGGCCCAAAAUGGGUUUUGGACUGGGGCAUUUGUAAAUGGGCUCUGGACUUCAUGAGGAUUUGGACUUGAAUGUAAUAUGGCUCAUUUUAUGGGCUCAAUUUAGAUUUGGAUCAUGGGCUCAUUUUGGCUUUAAUUUGGAUUUGAUAUGGGGAUUUGAUUUGGGCUCAAAAUGGGUUCAAUUCAUAUGUGGAUUUUGGGCUCAAAAUGGGCUCAACUCAUAUAUGGAUUUUGGGCUCAAAAUGGGCUCAACUCAUGGAUUUGGGCUCACUUUGGGCUUAUGAGAAUAUGAAAAUAUGGGAUUUGGGUUGAUUGAAGAUGGGAUUUGGGUUGAUUUGAUAUGAAAUUUGGGAUUUGGAUUGGAUACUGUUUUGAGUUUUGGAUUGAAUGGUAUUUGGGCAUAUUUUGGGUUUGAGGUUGUACUUGGCUUGGGCCUUGGACUGGAAUUGGGCAAUGGGAUUGGCUUUGGCCGUGGUUUGAAUUGGGCUCAAAUCUGGAUUGGGCUUUGGCCGUGGAUUUGAUUUGGGCUCAAUCUGGAUUCGGUUUGGGCUCUGGAUUUGAAUUGGGGCUCAAUCUGGAUUGGCUUUGGGCUCUGGAUUGAAUUGGGCUCGGUCUGGAUUGGGCUCGGAUUUAUUUUGAUGUGGAUUUGGGUUCAAUAUGGGCCGUAUGAAAGUGCCAAAUUCAGAUUCAUAUAUGGGUCCAAAUUGGAUGGAAUUACAUAUGGGCUCGGGCUUAAUAAUGGGCCUGUAUGGUUUGGACUCAUCACUUUCUUUAAUUAAAUCAUGGGAUUCGGUCCAGAUUCGUAUUUUAUGUUGGACUUGGGUUAUGUUUAACUUGGGUUUGAAGUGAAUCUGUGAAAUGAAUAUGGGUUGGUCCAUAUGAGAUUCGAUAUCAAAAUAUCUGGUUCAAAAUCAAAUUCAUCCGAAAUAAAUAUUGAUUCGAUUUAAUUCGACCAAAUCGAAAGGUUCGAUUAAAGGUUCGAUUAUUUUCGAACACUAUUAAAAGAACAAUAAAAAGGUAUUAAUCGGAAAUCCGACUAACUUUCUUUCAUUUCUUCAUUGAAGGAAAUUAAGAGAAUAUUUUUCUCUUUAUCUCUUUUAUAAUACAACAGAGAUGAAUAAAAAUUUUAUCUCUUUUACAGUCGUGGCUAAGGCGGGAUAAAAAUCCCUCCUUGCCUCCUAACAUUAACAAAGCUCUCUCUCUCUUUCAUAAGUAGAGAAAAUAAUAUCUCUCUCUUUUUCUCUUUUUUUUUUUGUAAAGAGGAGAGCACCGCUCUCUCUUCUCUCAGAUUCGCUGUCGAAUACUUGGCGGGGCGCUUCGUUUGAGAGGAGAGCACCGCUCUCACUCUCAGGUUCGUUGUCGAGCGGUUGGUGGGCGGACUCCGGGAACGUCGAGCACUUGGCGGGCGGAAUUCGUUUGAGAGGAGAGCACCGCUUCACUCUCAGGUUCGUUGUCGAGCGGUUGUGGGCGGACUCCGGAAACGUCGAGCACUUGGCGGCGGGAAUCCGUUUGAGAGGAGAGCACCGUCUCUCUCUCAGGAUCCGCGUCGAGCAGUUGGUGGGCGGACUCCGAGUACGUCGAGCACUUGACGGACGGUGGAAUCCGUUUGAGAGGAGAGCACCGCUCUCUCUCUCAGGUUCGCCGUCGAGCGGUUUGGGGCGUUCUCCGGUUUUAUUGGCCAUUUCAUCGAACGGAUGGAUGGCGUUCGACAGAGCUCGGUGGAAUUCGAAGGAGCUCGGGUCGGGACGUCCCAUAGCGACGUAGGCGGCGUGGAUUGGCGAGGAGUGACGCCUCGGGUUAGAGCAUGGUUGGAGCAUGUCCAGGAGCAACGCUCGGAUUGGUGUUUCGAGCAUGUCCGGGCGGAGGCGCCUCGAGUCGAGAUGUCUCGGAGCAGGUCCGGGAGGUAUGAUUGGAGCACGUCCGGGAAUAGCGCCUCGGGUUGAUGUCUCGAGCAUGUCCGGGACCACAGCGGCUUCAGCGCAUCGAGUCCAGCGACCUGGAGCACCUGGGCGGGUGGUGAAUUAAUGCCGAAGCAAAGGAGGCGCGGCCGAGCCCGGCGAGGGCUACAGCGGCGCAGCAUCGUCGGCGUCGAGGAGGUGGAACGCGCCUGCAAGCGCGAUCGUCAUGGGGCGGUUGACCACGGCGGAGGUUCUACACGGUUUGGCGGUCCUGCGCGGGUGGCGCGGCUUCAGGCAGAUCGCCGCGGGUGCGCGGCUUCGGGUGACGGUGACUUCGACGGAGCUUCAACACGUUUCGGGUCCUGCGCGGUGGGCGGCUUCAGGCAGAUCGGCCGCGGGUGGGCGCGCUUCGAGUCGAGGACGGCGUCGACGGCGAUCGGGCAGGAGGGAGGAGUACUGGGACUCGACCUUGGAGCUGAGCGCGGUGGCGACGGAUUUGACGAGGGAGCCGCGGUCGAGAAGUCUAGGGGAUGGACAUGACUUGGAGGGCGUCGACGCGGCGCGGAGGAGGAGUACUGGGACAUGGCGAAGAACUCAGGAGCUUGGCGGAGCUCGGCUGACUCCAUGCGGAGCUCGCGCGGGUCGCGUGGAAGCGGCGGGAGCGCGUCGCGGCUCGAUCGGCAGAGGAGGCAGGAGAGCGCCUCGCGCGGAGAGAGGCAUCGUCGAGGACGGGGACGCGGGAGGUCGAGGAGGCACUCAGCGGGAGUUGAGGCAGAGACGCGGCAAAGAGAGAGAGAGAGAGAGAGAGAGAAGAAAGAGAUCUGAGAUCUCAUUUUUAUUCCUUUUUCCUCUUUCUUUUUUUUUUUUAGCGAGAGAGAGAGAGCACUUUUCUCUCU